AGGAAGCUUAGGAACUGGUGGAAAGGGUUUCUUGAAGGGGAAUGGUGGUUUUGGGAAAAAUGGGAAAGGUGGAAGUGGCUUCUGGUACACGGGAGGCUUGUAGAUUGGCACCGCCGGUGGGAGUGGCUUCUGGUACACCGGAGGCUUGUAGAUUGGCACCGGCGGUGGAAGUGGCUUCUGGUACACGGGAGGCUUGUAGAUUGGCACCGGCGGUGGGAGUGGCUUCUGGUACACGGGAGGCUUGUAGAUUGGCACCGGAGGCUUGUAGAUUGGCACCGGCGGUGGGAGUGGCUUCUGGUACACAGGAGGCUUGUAGAUUGGCACCGGCGGUGGGAGUGGCUUCUGGUACACAGGAGGCUUGUAGAUUGGCACUGGCGGUGGGAGUGGCUUCUGGUACACAGGAGGCUUGUAGAUUGGCACGGGCGGUGGACAUGGCUUUUUGACUACUGGAGGCUUGUAGAUUGGCACUGGCGGUGGAAGUGGCUUCUUGUACACCGGAGGCUUGUAGAUUGGCACGGGGGGUGGAAGAGGUUUUAUGAUUGGAGGAGGCUUGAUUAUGGGAACAGGCGGAGGAAGUGGUUUUUUGUAGAUUGGGAUUGGUGGUGGAAGUGGCUUCUUGUAAAUAGGGAUUGGUGGGAGUGGUUUCUUGUAGAUUGGGGGGAAAGGCAACUUAGGCAAAGGAGGGUGUGUAAACCAGGGAUGGCCCGUGGGCAAAGGUGGAUUCUUGAAGAAUGGCCACAAGAAAGCUGAAGCACACAGUGCUGAGGUGAACUUGACACUUUCAGCUGGACCAAAAGUCAGUUUUCCAUCAGUAUCUGGCUUGGCUACAAUUUUGUUGGCUUCAAGGCCAUUGUGCGCUGGGCAUGGGGUUGCUGAUGCACUAUGGAGUUGUGCAAAGCACUCCUCAUCUAGUUUCCCAUCUUUCAGAAUUUCUCUGGGAACGGAUACCCUGAACUUCCCUUCUGAAUCAAGCUCUCCAGAACCCCUUCUUGUCACCUCUCCAUUUUUGAGCUUGCAAUCAACAGUCACACGUAGCCCUGCAAAAGGCAAAAUCAAGAAUAUUCAAGGACUCUUUAUAAAGACGAUAGACUACACUGCAUGCAUUUUGGCCAUCAGUAGCAGAUACUUUUGGUUAUUUUUGUCAAUUAGCCUGAAUCCAUGCCAUGCCUCUCUCAACUGCAAAAUCUUUACUGCUGCGGCCCCAUUUAAGUAAAGUUAAAAUGAGCCAACAUCAUCAGAUCAAGGAUUAAUGCAUGGGACAAGCAUGAGAUGUAGACAGAGAUCUACCACACAAGUAAUUAAGUACAUGUACAGGUUCCAGUAAGUACAGCCGAAAGAAUGGCCUGCCAUUUUUAGUAAAUUUGGGAAUAUAUUGAAAGCGGUCAUGCUGUGCAAUUUGAGCUGUUUCACAUGAGCAAGCUAGGAUAAAACUAGUACGUUGUCAGAUACCCCUUACAAAAAGGUACCCAGGAUAGGACAAACCUGAGAAGGCCUGGCUAGUCUUGAUCUUAAAGUCCUUGCAAUCUGCGCAUUCUCCAGCCCCAACAACCUGGACCGUUUUGUCAUCAGCACGGCAAAAGCUGACAACAAAGAAGAUGCUAACCAAUAAGAACAGGAGAUGGGAAACACCCCUCAUUGAGUUUGCGGUUCCCUUCUCUCUUGUGAAACUAGUUUUGAGUGAUUUGAGUCAGAAAAGCGUUGUCAUAUAUAUAAUGAUGAUGAUCGCCAGGGGGAAGGGUCCGCCGACACCAAAACUUAAAGGGCAUCACAUGAGGUUAGGUCCCAGUGAGCUUGACUUAUGCCCCGGGAAAACAUUUCUCAAGCAUAAGUGAUCAAUGGCCAUUAUCUUCAUUCAAUGUCCUUUCAACUGCACAACCCGACUUUGUCCAUCUGUAAACCUACUUACCAGCGCCAUAAUUAAAUAUCACUCGCUAUUCUAAAAUCCCAUGUUGAAUUCGUGAAAGAUUUAUAUUGGGCUUUCUUUAGUUCCAAGAGUUAUUUUUGGCAGCAAAGCAUGGGCUCUAGCCAGUAAAGAAGUACCUGGACUUCUUGCUUAGAGAAUUACACACACACAAACAGAAAAACAAAAAGAGAAGGGCGCCAUGUGCUAGACAUUAAGUGACUAACUCCAAAAUCUCAAAAUCCAUGUGAAUAAACAAGCUUUUUACCCUAAUAAAUGAAUUUCCUCAACAGUCUCUCGGCCUUGCUGCAAUUCGAUUGGCCAGUAUUCAACCGUACAAGAAUUGCUUUCUUUCCAUUGCAUAAUGCACGAGAGACUGUUAAACAUGUCAGAUUAUGAGAAACUAUAUGUUGUUAUUGUUUCGCCAUGUCAGACUGUGGGAUACGGAAUUUUGAUUACAUACAGUAAUGGGUUAGAGCAAGGAGUAGUUAAGCUCUAGUUCGUACCCAAUAAUCGAGUUGCUACUGGAAAAAACUUGAAUGCAGCAGCUGGAUGGCAAUAAUGUUCACACUGCCCAUGGCUCUUGACUAGAAACUUGGCCUAAUUGAUCGGCCACUCUAACCAACCAAAGCAUGCUUCCCACCUAUGUUUCAAGGGCACAUGCACAGCCCCUUUCGGCCAGGAAGACAAGUAGGUGGCUGAAUUGUAAAGACUAGCUCAAAAAGACAGAUUUAAACAUGAAAAUGAUGUUCUAGCUAAUUAACAGGCGCUUUACUCGAUUCCUCCUGUGUAACAUUCCACGAAUUCAAAUGAGAGCCCUAAAGUUCCCUUCCGAUUCUUAGUAUUGAGAGCUGCAAUUAACCAUCCUAUAUAGUGUUCCGUAGGGAAGUUAAAAGCCUCAAAGGUCAUUCCUAAAUGGGAGUGAAAACAAGAAAUGGAAGUUCUUGCUAAAAAAGAAGAAGGAAGAAAGGUUGGGAUGCAGUGUUUGAUAAUGCCCGUCCGACACAAGAAAGAUAAUGUCCCCUGUAGAAAGAUAAUUACCAUAGAAGCCGCACACAAGGCUAUCAAAAAACUGAAUAAUGUAACGUGGUAAAGUAGCAUAUCAUGUACCAUGAAAUAGCUCUCCAUAGUUAAUUAAUCAAUCACUGCUGAUCAAUUCAGUCGUAGAAUUUGAGCGUAAACUAGGUUCAAAAGAUUGGUGAAAUGAGAUACUCCCUCCGUCCCACCUUCUUGAUAGUCCUGUUUUCCUUUUUCGUCUGUCCCAAAUUGUAGUCCACUUUCCAAUUGAAGAAUGUAGUUAUAUUUUAACUUUCAUAAAAUACCCUUAUUUAAUGUAAGUUGUUAUUACUAUAAACCUACCUACCCCAUUUAAUGAGAGUUAAUUCUCUUUUUACCAUCAAUUCAAGUUCCCAUAAAAUUGUACUCUAUUUAAUGUGAGAGUAUUUUAAAAAAAUAGCAAUCUAAAUUUAUUUUUCUAAUAAAAUUAACUACUUUUUCUUAAACUGUGUGAAAAAAGAGACCGAACUAUUAAGGUGGGACGGAGGGAGUACAUGUAAAGAACAUAAAACAAAAGAAAGAAAAACUGGUAAACGAAAAGGACUUGCAUGAAGUAGAGAAGAAAUCAGGUUAGAAUGGGUUUUGGUUGCUUUCUGGUACGCCAGUUUAAAUCACCUCAUCUAAGUUAAGCGACACUUAACCAGAAGAUUCGGUCCAUUUAAUGUAAAUGAAUCAACAAUCUGACUGUUUUGCUGACCAGAAGUGGGCCCAAUGAAGAAAAGAAAGCUCAAACCGAGCGAAUUAGUAGUACUUAAAAUAUAUAUAUAUAUUGGGAGUGCAGCUUAAGACGGUCAAUUUAUUAUUGCGUUUUCUGUUUCUUUAGUGUGUAUGAAAUGAACCCGCAUCUUGACUUGAUUUUGGUGUUCCUUUAACCAGCCCCUCAAUAGUGACAGAUAAUAGUCUCUGCGGCAUUAAUGUCCGGGGCAAAUAUCUGCGAUAUGUGCUUUGGAUUUGUUAAAGUCCUCAUAAUGCAGGAAGCUCUGUAGCCACUAAUGUAGUGAGUGCAUACUGCUAAUUUAUUCAUUCAUCUUCAUAUGCAUAUCAGUGGAAGCGGCAAGCCAAUCGUACGUAACCUGUAAUUGUAGAAUCAAAUAUUAACAACACUACAAGGGAUUAAUACAUACCAAUUAUAUACUUCAGCAAAGUUGCAAUUAAUAACUCACAAAUUGUGGUUAUUAAAAACUAAUACCAAUUAUGCACAAGUUUAAAGAAAAGACGAGGUACCCACACAGAGUGUGCCUUUUCCAACACUGAAAGUUGCAGUCUUAUUCUCUAUCGAAGUUUGUAAAUGACUUCGAAUUCAAUUUUAGGGUUAGUUGACAUCCAAGAAUCCUUCUUUCUUUUCAAGAGAAGAAGAAAAGACAACAGACGCUAUCGGUUACAACUGGAAAAAUCAUCAGCCGCUGUCAUUUUUACGACCUGCUUUACUGCAGUUGCCCUCUGGGACAGAAAUAUAAAUCCCUUGACAGUGGACAUUAUCACUUUCUCCAUGUCCUUUUCUCCAAGCGCAUCAGAAUCCAGUGCUGGAAUGUCGGUUUCAGAAUUUACAGUUUCCAGUGUUCACCCUAAAAUUUUGAGAUAAUUUAACGUAAGACAGUUUCUUCUAUUCUAUCGAGCAAAUCAGUCCCAACAGUGACACUUCUCAGAUUACUUGAGCUAAUACUCAGUUUUAUUAACAUAUGCCAUCAUGCUUAUUUUCUGUCGGGUACUUUCAAAAAUCACAUCCGUCCAAAACCAUCGCCCUCCGAUUCUUGUCAAUGCCAACAAACAACUCUUUAAUUACUAUAAUAAGUGGGCAGACAACACAGAUUUUUCAGCCCAGGAGCAACACUGUUCACAAUCUUCAAUAUCAUAGUCAUACCGCUGUCACGGAACCCACCCACAAAACACACAAAGGGAGCGGUCCUCCUCUUCUCAAAAAAUUAAAAAAAAGGAAAUAAAAUCAUGCAGCCAUUCGACCAUAGAUAUGCUCAAUUUGUGGACUCGUCUGGCCUGCUUGGGGCGUUUGAUCGGCCCAGCAGACAAGACGCCACCAAUAAGGACACAGUUGUAAUGGGAAAAUUCGCUCUGGCAGACUGGUCCCAACUCCCAACUUGUAGUACCAUCCAUGAAACAGCAAGAUGAACAUGAACAUACCUUUUUAAGGAAAAAUCCGUGUUUCACAAAAUUGUUUUUGUUUUUUUACCUGAUCAAUUCUCAACUAAUUUGGCAUUAAGAAAGGCUCAGCUUUCAAAAUCUCUUAAUUUAACAAAAUGAGUUUUCUUCCUCCUCCUACAACAGUGAGGCAAUAAGUCGUUCUCAAGUUUAAUUCCAAAAGAACAUUCCACCUUCUGGGGCUCCUUCACUAUCAAAGAUGCCUAAGCUGUGUUACAAGAACUAUGGCCUUGUCAAAACUCUCCUGAAGGGCAAGUGACCUCAGCAAGGUUUAUCUACUUCUUCUUCUUUAAUUUGCUGGAUUGAGACUGACUAUAAGCAGUUCCCUGUGAGAAAAAGCGUGGGCAAUUUAAUGAAGAUAUUUCAUAAAUUACUCCUCGAAAAGGUAUCUAGAAGGUAAAAAAAUAUUCCUCAGUUAAAAACUUUGGAUGGCCACAGUGCACAAACUACAAACCUCCAGCCACUCAUCCAUAGAGGCAUCAGUUGUACCAGUUCCAACCUCCACCUUUGGCGCCCUCUUGCUUUUCUGAUAAAGAGAAAUAAAUAGGGGAGUGAAAACAAGUAAAGGGAAAGGAGGGCAGGCAAAUGCAGAUAACACUUAACGACCUAUGAUCAAUUGAAAUUAACCCUUUCAGAAAAGUCUAACAGAUGAGCUAUUGUCUUAUUAACUUCUACUUUUCCUGUCAUAUGGAACAAUUGGAAGGGGAUAAAACAUUAAAUGCAAAGUAAUCACAACUCUUCUUAUGACAUUGUCAUAUGCUCUUCCCUCUCUUGGUUAGACAAUAAGAAAUUUGACUAUAGGUUUUCCUGACACAUUCUGUAGAUUGCAGCUAUGUGAUGCUAGUUUCACGUGCUAUACCAGACAAGAAGCGUGCUAUACCAGACAAGAAGCAGGUCAAUGUCUAUAGAAAUGUCAAUGAAUCAGACAAUGCAUUAGAUAUCCUUUUUUUUCUCUCGAAAACAAAACAAUGCUCUACUUCCUAGUAAUGGGAACAAAUAUUACUUUUAGAUCCCAAGAAAGAAGAGAAUACAGGAAAGUAUCAAUAAAUGAAGUUGACUAGAACCAUUCCUUCUCAAUCUAAAGAGUUACUAAUAUUAGGCAUCUGAUUAUUGAGAUGCAUUCAAUAACAAGAAGCCCCAAUCCAAGGCAGUAACUUAAAACAUUAAUCAUCUCCCCAAGAUAUCCAGUGCAAACACAGCCACUAACAGAUUUUAUAAGAAAUGCCAAGAUACUUUCUGUUCAGCUUCUAAGAAUUAUCUUACAUUUUAAAUCAUCCAGAUUACCACAACCUUUGGCUACUGUUGUAUCUGAAAGGAAAAAGGUCAACUCACCUUUGACCAAUGUUGUAUCUGAUUCCGUAUCCAAAAUACUGCAAAGCCAACAAAAGCAAUUGCAAGAGAAACUAAGAAAACAGAUUCCACGCUCAGAGGACCACCAGCCUCAGUUACUUCAAUAGUACCAUUGUAGAAGGUACUUUGAUAGGGAUGUUGAUCUAUUUCAUAGACAAUUGUGCCCACAAGAUCAAAUGCUCCAGCCUGCAAAAUAGAAAAGUAUAAUAAGUAAAGCAGCCUUUGCAAUGAAUUUUAUCGAUUUAAGUAGUAAAGUAAAUGGAAGAUGUUAUGAAAACAAAUCAAGAAAACUAUAUUAGCUGCAAGUAAUUAACCUAACCUGCAAAAAUUUGCUGACAGCGAAUAUGUAUGGGAAUGUGGCUUGAGCAGCAGGAGGGACAGAGGCAUUGGUAAAAGCCUAGAGAGACAACAAAAUUAUGUUGUUACAUCCUCAGUCAGAAAACUUGGUAACUAACAUGUGAAGUCCAAGAAACAGUUGAAAUUCUAAUUCCAAAAGAUUUAAGGACUUUGAAAGAUAAAGUAGCAUUUACUCAUCUAGAGCACUGAGAGCUCAUAAAUAUUAUAAACACAAAGUUCUGCAGUCAAACCUAAUUCAGAGUAAAAUCCUUAAUCAUUGCAACAGCAAUCACCUCAAUUUUCAAGGUUAUGAGGGAAACAAACACAUUAAAAGUAUUGUUAUGGCAGGUAUUUUCAAAUUCAAUGCACACCAAGCUGUGCUUCAUCUCACAUCAAUAGCCGGCAAAUGAAUUGUUAAAAAGUUAAAAAAGCAACUACUACGCCUCUUGAAAAAUUACAAAACUUGGCCCCCUAAUAAUGAGAUCCACCCUUCCAUGAUUGCAGACUCCAAGAAAAUAAUUAUAUUGAUACAAGACUUUAAGGCAUGACAAGGCACAAGAAACCAUAAAUUAUCAAAAAACACCAUAUAUGAUAUUCAUAUCACUACAAGAAAGCAGGAUUCAUGAUUGAGCCCUCUAGAUUGCACACAAAACUUGUGACAGAAUUUACUUGAAUAUAACACAAAUUGCAAAUAUUUUGAGAUAAUGAACUAGAUUGCACACAAAGCUUGUGACAAGAUUACUUUAAGAUUCCACAAACUGUGAAGAAACAACAGUACCAUUUGUUCUCCCCUGCAGUGACUCCUAAAAUCAUCUCUAAGACAGAAUCACAACGUGAUAGCAAUUUCCAUAGAAACAACGGGUAACAUUGUUAUGUUAACUCAUACAACUCUGAGCUCCGUGCUUUAAUCCAUAACAUAGCCAACACAUGUCUCUAUAUGUGCAAAACAACCUAACCCAGGUCACAGUGUAAAAAAAUUUUGCCUCCUACAAAUGUUAUAGUCCCAACACAAAAAGCUGGAUAAGCUCGAUAAUUGUUUUCCAGUCCUCUUUGUAUCACAAAGCACAACUAGAUUUUCAUCAAGUAGUCUAGUCAAUUUGAACAAACCACACAGUAAGAAUUCAAACCGCAGAGCUUUACAAAGUGACAGCAAACUCAGUGUGGUAGAAGGCUGUUAAUUUUAUUUAUCAAUACAGAUAGCAAUUAUCCAGUCAGGGAAUCAACUGAAUCAAGCAGCAAGCAUACACCACUUACCUGACUAGAGAUAUUCUGAAUCAGAUACUUAUGAUCAUAUGGAAGAUGAACACUAGCAUGGAUUGCAAUGAUAUUCAGACUUGAUUCUCCUGUUUCAAUCAUUAUUAUCAGAGAAAGACCCACAGAAUAACAACAGAUACAUAUAACUAAAGAACUGUACUACAAGAGACAUAUAAGAACUUAGAUGAUCCAAAAAAAACCAUUUCAAUCAAAAGAGGUUGCAAAACUGAAACACAAUAACAAAAUCAUCCACCAAGCUUGAUACUUUUAAAAGAAACGGUGUACUACCAAAUAGCAAGCUUACCAUCAUUCUUAACACCAACUAAAAGUUCACCUUCUUCACCAGCAGUAACCACUGAAAAGGGGCAAACAGCAUAUCAAAGUUCCAUUUUGGAGGAAAGAGAAUGCACAUUGUAAUACAACAAAGAGGUGAGAUUACAUGCACUCAUAAUUACAAAUCAAAAAGGAGUUGUUACUUACAUUUAGAAGGAUUUUUCGGGAAAACACAGAUAGUCUCCACCCCAGGAGCUGGACCAAAACUCCCACCACCAAUAUCUUGGACAUCAUCACCGACGAUACCAAGAUCACUCACUUCCUCAGAACCUUCAACUAUUUCAGCAUCUGCAUCCGGUUCACCCCUAACAACUAUCAAGUGAAAAAACAGCUAAUGAACCUCAGUCGCAACUUGUUACAGAUACAAAUUCAAUGAAAACUCACUUAAAUUGUAUGCAUGGUAAUUCCCUAUAUCAUUGCUAGCAAAAUAAGUACAGAGAAUCCAUAGCAAUAAGCUUGGCAGAGCUAAGCAGAAGCAGAAUCAAAUAAAUCAAUUUUCCCGGAAAUUCUCUCCAGGGACCAGGCAGAGUUAUUAACGAAACAGUCGAGCAGCAUCCUCAUCAGUAAUAGAAAAGUUUCUGCCUAUUUGAAAUUGACAAUUGCCCCUUUCAACUGUACACCACAGUAAAGGAGCAACAGAUUUCGUAUCAAUUAAACGGAAUAACUACAACGAUCGCCACUUGAAUGAAAUAUAGCCUCUGCCUAAAAGACUACAUAGCAUAUUGUUUAAAAAGAGAGAAGCAAUUCAUUCAGGCAGCGUUUAACCUCAAAUCAACACAGGCGUUGACCGAGCAACAUAUGAAAGAGACCUAAAUCACAUGCAUGACAAGGGAAACUUAUGCAGUAGUAACUAUCAUUCUAUACAUGAACGAAUUGCGUGGUAGAAUUUGAAUCCGAAUUCGGAUCGAAUGUGAGUUGGACGGAUGAAAAGCCCAGAUAAUGUAUAGCAAUUAAAAAAUCCAAGCAUCGAACUCAUUAUUCCGCAUGCAGAGGUAUCGAUACAAGUCAAAUUAAGCAUUAGAAAAUUGAACUUUCCGAGCUACACUUGUCAAGUACAAAUCAUUCGUACAUAUAAUCGAAAAUGAAUCCAGAUCUACGAUCGUAAGCAAACCUUGGAGGAAAGAGGAGGAAAAUACGAGCAGCGCGAGGACGAAGAAAACCCUAAUCGACAUUCUCGCCUCGGUAAAUGAAGAGGGGAGAGAGAGAGAGAGAGCACAAAGGGUACAGAUAGACUUCCAGAAAAAUGCACGAAGGGGGGGAAUGACUGGGUUUCGGUUCGGGUUGGGGUCUGGGCUCUGUUUUUGGGUGAAAACUGGAGCGGAGAUGAGGAAUUGGGGAGUUUUGGGAAACUGGGAGCUCUCUCUAACUCGAGGCCGGAGACAGAAAACCAACAACCAAAAGACGUCAAUGCUGAGGCAACUUUGCCCCCUUUCCCUUGCACCUUUUUUAUGCCCUCUUUUUUUUUUUCUCUUUUUUCUUUUUUCUCUCUCUAAUCGCUUAUUAGUUUUUUUUAUCACUCUCCAUUUAAUGAUUGAUGUUAUUGCAGGAGUUUUAGUUAUUGUGUUUGGAUCCCUAGAGAGUUUGGGAGAGUGGAGUUGAAGUAGGCUUGGAAUUUGGGAACCAGGCUUUGUCUAAUAUUAUAUAUAUAUAUAAUGUUUAGAUUCAGGAAUUAGAGUUGCUAUUCUCAAAUUCUAUUCUAUUUAAUUUUGUUUUUAAAUUAGCACCAUUAUUCUUGAUAAUUUUUAUAAUUACUAUUAAGUUGCUAAUUUAUUUGGAUUGCUUCUUUCUCCUUUUUUACCAUCUUAUUUUAGAAAAAAAAAUUAUCAAUUCCAUGAGAGGAUUAUUAGCACAUUUUUAGUCCUUACUUGUGGGAUUGAAGUUCAACACGUGGGUUUGUUUGGAUAGAGGAUUAUUUGUCAAAAUUUAUUUGCUUACAUCAUCGUUACAAUUUCCAACACAUCUUUUUAUCUUUUUAAUUAUUUUUUUAUUUCACAUACAUCACAUCAUAAAAAUUAAUAUAGUAAAAAUAUCUCAAAUAAUUUUAUCUCCAGCUUCGAAACAAAAACGUGGUGUGUUUGUGAUAUUUCAUUGCCAGCAAACCUUUUGAUAUCAUUUCAAGCUGGGUCUUGUAUUUCUUUAGCUAUCCACCUAUGAAAUUCAUUAUAUACAAAAAAAAAAAAAAGGAAGGAAAAUAACAUUAUAUUAUUAUAUACUAGCGGUAGUCCACUAGAUUGGGAGAUGAGAUUUGAGUAGAGAAAAAAAUAAAAAGGAAGAGAAAGUAAUAAGUCUUCCCAAUUGAUUUUGGAGGAUGCGCCGGGGGUAAAAAAAUUUCCAUCCAAAAUUGAACAGAAAAGGAAGGAAAUUUAUAGUAAAAAAGUUUUCCAUCCAAAAUUGAACAUAAAAAAGUUUUUUUUUUUUUUAAAACUAUCCAAUCUAUCCUUAAAAAAGCUAUUGAAUAAAAAUUUAUUAACUAAUAUAUUCAAGAUUAUUUCAUUUAUUUAUUUCAUAAACUCUCAAACGUUAAAACCCCUUUUCUUAUCCAUCACUUUCUCUCAUAGGCUUUCUUUUAUUUCCUUUUCUAUCCUCAACUCCCAAACUAGCUGUUGGGCUCUUAGGCCUUAGCUAGCGGAGGAGGAGAAGCAAAGAAGUCUUCGUCUCCAUUGCAAUUUGCGAGGUCAGGGCCUAGUUACAGGGUAAAAAAAUGGAUCAAUUUAAUCAUCAGGAAACUGUUUAUCAUCAUCAACAAGUUCAGCCCCCAAAUCCCCCGCUUCCCGAGUUUGGACAGCCUCCGCCUGAUAUGCACUUGUCUUCUAAUCGCCCCAAUCUUGACUCCAGGUUUUGCCCCCGUCCCUUUCUCCUGCAAUUCCAGAUUCUCAACUUUUGCAUGCAAGUUGUAUUUAUGAGAUUGGGUUUUGCUUCCCUGGUGGUUUUUUGCUUUCCAGGUUUAGCUGGGAUUGUUUGUCCUGAUUUAUUUGAUCCUGACGCCUUAACUUGUGAACUGUGUGCUAGGGUUUAAGUUAAAAUGGGGGGUGUUAAUUGGUUAGGAAAAGCAUGUGGAACAAGUUCAAAAUUUUGAUGCUAUAUGAUGCUGCCCUAUUAAAGUGGGCAAAUGGGUGUAUCUUGGGUAAAUUUAUUCUGAGAGGUUAUGUUACAAGCUACCCAUAAAUUUAACUAGUUUUUAGAAAGAGAAAUCAUUAGCUGGAAUUAUCAGGGAGUGUAUGAUUGUGGUUGCUUUUCAAGGAAAAGAGGGUACAAGUUUUUAGGUUUAAAAUUGUGUAGAAACCUUUACUGUGAAUGAGGAUUUCUGUUAUUGAGUAUACAAAGCUUCUCUGACUGGUAAAUGCAGUGUAAUUUGUAGGAUGGAAAUGCUUAAUAUUGGAAAGUGAUCCAGUGUGUAUAUUUGUUAUCUGAAUGUAAAGAAAGCAGAUGAUUGAAAAUCUGAUGAGUUAAAUGAAGUUCUGGUUAAGUUUUACUGCAUUGCUUACUAGCGUGUGGAAGUUGAAGUGGUAGAUGCAACAAGAUAAUUGCUUUUGACUUUCGUUGAAGAAUUAUCUGAAAAGGAAUACACAAAAUCGUGUCAGGCAUUUACUGAGGUUAAAGGAAGCGAAUGCUGAAAACUGUUGAAACUCAAUUAGCUGUUGUCAAGUAAUAACACUCACGUCUACCCCAUUGACAACCAAAAAUGAGAAACACUAAAAUUACAUGUUUAUCAUAUAAAUUUGUGCAUCCUUGGCUGAUAUAGUAUUUGACAUUCAAUACCUCAACAGCUUAUGUUCGAGUUGUGGGAAAACCUUAUUACCACCCUUGAGACACUUCAAAUAAGUGAAUAACCUCUUAUUUGCACACGACUGGUAGUCCACGUUAGAAAUAAGGAUUAAGCUUAAAACAGCAGGAUUAUUUGUGUGGUGAUGAUUGCUUGUCCUAUGGAGCUCACAAACUAUAUGGAAAUUGUAGCUGAGGUCAAAGGAUCUACUCCUUUCCAUUUUCCCUUUGAUAAAUCCUGAGCAUUACUUUUGCAGACAACUUCACCACUUCUGGACUCAUAAACAAGGAAGGUUCUUGUAAUACUAGAAAUAUGAAGCUUCUCUAAUUUAUGGUGUCAGCGUGCCUGUAUAGCACUUUUUUGUGUGGCGUAGCCAAAUGUCGGAGCAAAAAAAAAAUUACAAAUAGGGCCACACAUCAAUUUUCUUGUCUUAUAGAGGCACAAUCAUUUUCCUUCUCUUGUCAUGCUUGCACAAGUAAUAAUCUGUUUCUUGGGUAUAGUAUUUUCUUACAUGGCAAUAAAUAUGCUGCUUUACAAUGGUCAACAUAUUUUUCCGCCAUCAUCCUCUUGUAUUAGGUGCAGUAGAAUUCAUGAUUUCAUUGAAAUUUUGCUGAUUUAUUCUGUAAAUGCCAUGGAUCAAUGUAGCUUAGUUUGAGAAUAGAGCACUUUUUCUUUGAGUCUCGAGUGUGUUGUUGAGGAUGGAUGGUGAUUGUUAAAUACAAGUCAAUUUAUCAGUCUUUCAAAAUCGAAUCUCUGCCAGACUUACAUAGAGAGAGAGAUUUAUUUCCUGCCUUGUGAAACAUAGGUCUUUUGUGUAUUUUAGUUCUCUGCUAAAUGUACUGUGUUUACCCAUUCAUAAGAUGAAUAUCUAGCAUCCAGUUGGCAUAGUAUCGAUUCGCAAAAAUGGUAUAACAGGUCAUAUAGCUUGGGUCUUUGAUAGAUGAAACUUGAUAACCCUUUAUACACAAGAGUAUAUAUCUCUGCUGGAUAAAAUUGUUUUUGAAACAUUAAAUUUUUCAUAUAUAUUUUACUGGCCCUUCUCUCUCACCUCCCCCCUCUCUCUCUCUAUCUCUCUGUCUUUUUAUGUCCUUAUUCUCCUUAUUGCCUGGGUCGUCACUUGAAGGCCAGAAGCAGUGCCAAAGGACUCCAUUGCCACAAGGAAAGUUCAAAAAGCUGACCGUGAGAAGCUACGGAGGGAUCGCUUAAAUGAGCAGUUUGCUGAGUUGGGAAAUACCCUUGGUAAGCCCAAAAGUUUUGAAUUAGCUUGGUAACGUGGCAACUAAUGCAUUCUGCUUUCUAUGAAAUCCGUUGAACAUCUUAUCCUGGAACUCAUUAUAAUGAAAAUAGUAUCCCAGAAAUGUAUAUUGUGAGUGGGUUCAUAUCUCUUCUUCUGUACCUUGCUUUACUCGCAGAAUCUUAUGCAAUUUUCUCAUUACUUGAAUUUCUUUUUCUUUGACUUAUAAAGAGUUUGCCCCAUUUGUAAGGAAUUGUUUAACCAAAUCCUUCUGAAGAUUCACCACUUUAGUGGAUUUUUUCUCUGGUCAAAUCUCAUUCGUGACAUGGUCUAAAAUUAUCACAUCUGGAGGCACAUUGCCACCGGAUAUUCUCAUAGCAAUCCCCAGUGGACUUCUUUUUUUUUUUUUAAAUUUAGUAUGCUAGUUACUGUUAAACAUUAAGCAUUAAAUGACUGCUUGACUUCAUAGCAGAAGUGGGGACCAGUUGUGGGACAUUCAUGUCAUGGAUCUUUUAACGCUUGUUCCCUCUCCUCAUUACCUUAAUACUGGAAAACGAUUUGCACUCUACUAUAGUUGAUGUCUCAUGUGCUUUCUGUUUAGUUUUGUAGAGCAACUAGACAACUGUAUGACGAUGUUUAAUCCUGCACCCCUAUAAACCCUCCUUGAAUAGACAAAAUCGUAAUUUCUGGUAUUACUUGAAACAACCAAGAGAUUUUAUAUAUUCAAUUUUCAGCCGGUAUGAUCAUGAAAGUAGCUUGUUGUUAUGUAGUGUUGUCACUGGUGUUUCCCAAACAUCUGUAACUUGGGCUGAUUAUGAAGUUUGAUUUCAACCGCAAAACUUUGUCAAGAAACUUAUUAGUUCUGUACAUAUGGUUGAACCUAUAUCCCUUUUUUGUUUGGUUCAAGUAACUUAUUUACCUGUAGUAAGUUUCAUGUGAUUUUUUUCUCAUUAGAUGUGUUUAACGAGUUUGCAGAUCCUGAUAGGCCAAAAAAUGACAAAGCAUCUAUCCUCACUGAUGCUAUCCAAAUGGUGAAGGAAUUGACUGCUCAGAUUGACAAAUUAAAAGCUGAACAUGCUGCACUUAACGAAGAAUCUCGUGAGGUGAUUGUUCUAGCUACUCAUCCCCUUUUUUCCCCUUUCUUUUCUUCUCCUCACGGCCCGGUGAGGACUGUUUUACUGAAUACUUCCAUUUCCAAGCAGUUGACUCAGGAGAAAAAUGAUCUUCGAGAAGAGAAGGCAUCUCUUAAGUCAGAUAUUGAGAGCCUUAAUGCACAACAUCAGCAGAGAGUGAGAGCUAUGUAUCCGUGGGCAGGCAUGGAUCAUUCUGUUGUUAUGCACCCAGCUUCUUAUCCUUUUCCAUUGCCCAUGCCGAUACCUGCUGGUCCAAUUCCCAUGCAUCCAUCUUUGCAGCCAUUCCCACUAUAUGGGAAUCAGAAUGCUGCGGUUGUUCCAAGUCCUGUGUCAACUUUUGUUCCAUAUAUGGCUCCUAAUAGCAUUAUUGAACAGCAAUCAACACAACAUGUUUCUCAAGUAACACAGCCUGGUAGCAGAUCCCAUACUUCAAGCAGGCAAGAUUCUAGACCCAAAGCAUGCAAUCAGAAGGAUAGCAGAAGUGAAAAAAGCGAGACUUCAGAUGAUGUUGCAACUGACCUUGAGCUCAAGACCCCUGGGUCUACAGUAGAACAGGUUAAAAUACAGGGUUUAUUCUACUCUGUCAAGAAGGUCUUUUAGGUAAAAUAAUGAAGAGAAUUUGACAUGGCUGAACAACCUUGUGCAGGAUGUUUCACCUGGACAAAGAAAAGCCAAAAGAUCAUCUAGGAAGGAGAGUAACAUUACGGAAGGAAGUUCUUCAAGCAGGUGUUCAUCAUCUCACAGUGUACAGGCUGCUUCGUCAAGUAGUGUAGUUGGUGGCACAAAAACAGAUGAGUGAAGGAGGAAACCUGAACCUGGUUAUUUCAAAUUCAUUCUCCUCUCUUAAUCACUCUGAGUUAACCUUUGUCAACUGCUGGUGGCAUUCUUCUACUCUGGUGUGCAGCAGCUGCGGCGGACUUCAGCUGGAUACCAGAGGACGAGUCCAAGUGUAAAUAUGGUGUAGUUCCUCUCCAUAAGUAGGUUAGUGCUUCCACAGGACGUGGAUUAUAAUGGAGCCAGCAUCUGGAAAAGUAAUUUCAGAGGUGAUCUAUGUAAGCUUUGCUUUAUAUUUUUUGACCUGUUAUCACGCAUUCCUUCUUUCUUGUUGUACAGCUUUGUGUAAAUUUUAUGUUUUAAGGAUUAGAUAAAGAUUUUACUGACUUCAAGGCUGAUCAAGUUUCGGUGAAUGGACUUGUUGAUGAAUGAAUGGGGGCACCACACUGAAGUUAGCCGAGUAGAAGUCAGGAGAAUACAAAUGCAGUGAAGUUAGCCGAGUAGGAAGUCAGUCAGUGAUGAAAGUUAUGCGACUCUUCACUGCUCCUAUGUGAAUGUGGCACGACCAAAUUUUCACUUCAGAGUCGUUACCAUUGGCCAUGCCCACUACAUUUCUAGCGCUCCAGUUCUUUUUCUGCUUUUGAAGGGAGAAUGGAGUGCUAUUUGACCCCUUUUCGUCUUUUUUUUAAGGAGUGCUGGCAAAGAACGUGCUGCAGCGUAAUGGUCAUUUGGAUUUGUUACGGUACAACUGACACCAUAGGAUGUGCCGACGUCAUAGUGAGUGGUAUUUGCUAUUCGGUGAGCCAUUCUGAUGGGGGAAAAAUAUAAAUAAAUAUGGUGUAGUUUUCAUUGUUGGUUGGUGUGGGUGAGAAAGUAAGGCAGGACAUAAAUAGGAGAUACAAACGUAGCCGCGCGUGCAAUUCCUUCCUUUCCUUUUUUUUUUUUUCCAUCUUUUAAUGGAGGAGAUAUAGAUACAAAAAAUGGCUGCUACGGACAAAUUUUCAUCUUUCAACGGACGGGUAUGUUUGGACGAGAAAUUAUUUGAAAUGAUUAUUAUAGUAAUUUUUUGUAAUGUGAUGUAUGUAAAAUAAAAAUUUUAUUAAAAAUAUAAAAAAUUGAUUAAAAAUCAUAAUUGUGAUGUAAGUAAAAUAAUAUUUAGAACAAAUGUUGCUAUCCAAGCUUGCUCAAUUAAAUAUUUUGUUUGUAUAAAAAACACAAUUUCUAAUUAAUUUUUUAACUUUCUGUUAUCAUUUGAAAAAAAAAAUUAUCUUUGCAUCUUUUUAAUCAGUUUAUUUGCAUACAUCCCAUUCCAAAAAAAAUGAUAUAAUAAUUAUUUGAAAUAAUUUUCUAUCCAAACAUAGAUAUUAACCAUAGGUUACCAUUAAAGAAACCAUUUGGAAUUCAUAGAAUUUAAGUCAUAAAUUGCAAAAUUUAUAUUAAAAAAUACAUAUGAAUUGCAAAUGAAUUACUCCCUCCGUCCUACUUUUAUAGUCUUGUUUUCCUUUUUCAUCCGUCCCAAAUUGUAGUCCACUUCCCCAUUAAGGAAUGUAGUAAUCUUUCAAAUUGUCUAAAAUACCCUUAUUAAAUAUCUUGUUAUUAAUACAUUGUUAUUAAAUACUAACUCACUACAUUGAAUACAUUGAGGUUUUCCAAUGCACUCUUCGUGAUUAGCAUAAGGGUAUUUUAGGAAAUUAUUAAUCUAAAUUUAUGUUUCCAACCAAAUUAAUUACAUUUUCUUAAUCUGUGUGAAAAAAAAACCAAGACUAAUAAAACGGGACGGAGGGAGUAUAAGCAAUGGUAAUUGGACUUAAAUCCACUGACUGUAAAUUUCAAGGCUUGAAAAAAAAAAGGAAUUUUUUGAAAAAGCCCAAGGCAUUAUCUUGACUCUUGAGGUUAGGUGGACCAUUGAUUGUGUAAUGCACGCGGCGACAGCAAGCGUGGGAUGAGAGAGAAGCAGCCAACAACUCCGUACCAGUAAAAUACAUCGCCACAUGUCGAGGGACUGACUGAGAGGAGGCUUUCUCCCAAUCUUAAAAAAUUAUCUGCUCUGUUCUCUCUGCUCACUUCUGCUUGACGACGAGUAAAACUUUUAGUUGGCCAAGGCGUAGUAACAGAGAGUAACAACAAUAAUGGCUGUGGCUUCCACAUCUCUGGCUUGCCCCCAAUUCUCCGGCCUCCGCCGUUCUUCUUGUCCCAAGCUCGAUUCGCCACCUCUUUCCAUUUCCACUGCUCAAUCUUUCUUCCAAAAUUUGGACUCUCAUCUCCGCCUUUCUUCUUCUUCCCCCCGCAAUAAAGCUUGCCGGCCUGUCGUUGCAAUGGCCGGCUCCGGAAAGGUUAUUUCUUUUUCAUCCUUUUUAUUCUAGUCUUUUAUUAUUAUUGUUAUUAUUUUUUUUUGUAAACUUGACUUCUGUGACUGACUGUUGUUACUGUUGCCAGCCUAUAAAUAUUGGGUUCCAUGAGAUGACAGAUUUAUUCCUUUGAAAUUCAUUGGGGUAGUUCUGGACUCUUAAUUAUAGUUUAAGGAUUUAUGCUAAUUUAUUAUGAAAAUGUAAUGAGGCAUUGGAUUUAAUGACUCUAGUCAUUGGGUGGUUGAACAGUGAUGAAGUAAACUGGACUUCAAUUUGAUACCUUUAUUUCUUGUCCCCUCCCUCAAAACCAAACUAAAAAAAAAAAGAGGAAAAAGAAAAGGCUCCGGAUGGUAAGAAUUAGACCUUGUACUACUUUAUUCGUAAGUCUUCAAUGAAAUGCGAAUCUCUAAAAGCUCAAAUUGUUCGACAAGAUCAUGAUGCUUACCGCACAGUGAUACAUUAUGACAUUUCUUUCAUAAGUUUAUUGGCAUACUGAGAAAUGAGAAUGGUGUCAUUGGUUACUCCACUUUCUUCUUUUAGCCAAGCCGAAGCAAUCCACGCCUCUACGCCAUCUCUCUCUCUCCCACCUUUUUGCUAGAGUAUGUUAGUCAUGAUGAUUCAGUUUGGUUUUGGAUGAUGCUUCUUGGCUGUUCUUGAAUGUCAUUGUGCUCUGAAUCUGGGAGAUUUUCUUUUUUGUUUUUCCGGUCCUGGUUAAUUCUGAUGGUUCAUUUUCCGAAUAUUAUGCUUUUCCUUAAUGUACUUCAGUUUGUAAAACUUAUUUCAUUAUUUCACUCUUUCUGGUUCUACUUGAUCACUUGCUUUCUGAGAAACUAUUCAUCUUCUGAUGAUCAGUGUGACAUGAGAAUAUAUGAGCUUUAAAGAGUGUAUUAACCAGAGUCUUUUGGUUCUUCUUGCAGUUCUUUGUUGGUGGAAACUGGAAGUGUGUAAGUGUCCUUUUCUUUUUCUUCUUUGAGUUCUUAUUUUCAUAAGAUCAUUCAUCAUACAGGUACUUAUACUUGAACUGUGUAUUUAUUUCCUCUUUGCUCAGUUGACUCUUUAAAUGUCCAGUGUUCAUAAUUAAGAACUUUAACAAUUUUAGCAAAGUAGGUCCGGCUCCUGACCAAAAGGUGAUGGGGGUUCUUGGACUUCUAAAGGUGCCAAUAAAAUAAUAAUUAUACCACUAGAAGGCAACACUUGUAAAUUAUAAAUUACAGGGACUGAGAAUCCAAGGUACUAAAUGGACAGUAAUGACUAUUUGAUGUAACAAGAAAAAACUAAUAAGUCACGGUUAUUAAUUUCAGUAGUUUAGCUUAUCUUUCACUGCACUUGCUUAUGUCUUGCCUGUUAUCUUUCUCAGCAAAAUAGCUGUAUUUAAUGCUUGAUUAACCAUCCAAAAAUAGUCCCAGGAUACUGAUAUUCGUAAGUUUAUGCUCAUUGCUAACUAGCCUGUGGUAUUCAUGCUUUUAUUGUUAGUUUUUUCACUCACAAGGUGGGGAUGGGGGCAAGCUUGUUCUUAUGCUUUUUCGCAGCGUGAAAUGCUCACUGCUGGUGUAGUUUGAUAUAUAUGAUCUAGAAUAUGGGUUUUGUGCUCUAUGAAAAUGUGAUUUCUUUUGUCUAAUUAAGUAAGUAGCAUAUUUUUGGCACAUAAUGACAUUAUAAGACAACAUAUUUGCUGAAUAUGUUGAUCUCCUUUUACCCCUCUUUCUCCAUUUCUGAUAGUUCUGGAUAACUUUGACUAGAUAGAGCACACUAUUUAGCAAAGGAUUGAGUUUUUUCAUGCUUUAGCUUUGUUCUUUAUUGACUUCUUAUUGCAUGUUUUGCUCAGAAUGGAACAAAGGAGUCCAUCGGCAAGCUUAUCUCUGAUUUAAAUAGUGCAAUGCUGGAGUCUGAUGUUGGUGAGUUGUCCACAAUAUGCUUUCAAUAUAGCAAUAGCAAGUCACUUUGUCCCGAGUGCAGGAGAGUGCCUCAAUGUGCCCCAUACCGAUGUGAAUUGAAUGAAUGGACACCACACAAGUUCGUGCCUUUCCCUUAUCACACAGCGAUAGUCAUUCUUCUUCCUUCGGGCUCCCUUGGAUUGGUCUUUUUUUAGCGAAUAGGGAACCCCUUGGUGGGAGAUUACUGUUCUUUGUCAAAUAACCCCAAAGUAGUCUUUUAUACUAGUUAUGUCAUUGAGGUUGGAAUGAAAUUGUUGUAAUUGGUAAAAGUUUUUAGUUGUGACAUGUCUACAGAUUUCUAGCAAGCAUCUUCUAGGGAUAAUCCAGUCUCAGUUACAUUUUCUUCCCCGAGUAAGAUGUACCUUAGCUUAGUGGUUAGCCGUAUAUGUUGAUGCUAUGACUAGCAAACCUUGAAUAUAAUACUAUUUCCAUCUAUAAGUCUGUUUGAAAGCUUGUAGAAUUUAGAGCAGUGCCUUGCAUUAUUUUUACGCCUGGGUGGCUACGAUUUGGAGGCUAUACUUUUCUGUUUAAUUGCCAAUUGUGCAUCUUAUCUUGCCACAUUUGAGGCGCUAAACUACUUUGUCUUAGUUAUUUGCUAAUCUAAAUCGUAUUCAGCAGCUCUUCAGCUUUGAAUGCCACAUUACUAGAUUUAUUUUGGCUCUUUGAAAUCCAGAUGUUGUUGUGGCACCUCCAUUUAUAUACAUUGAUCAAGUAAAGAGCUCAUUAACCGAUCGCAUCGAAGUUUCUGCUCAAAAUUGUUGGAUAGGGAAAGGUGGAGCUUUUACUGGGGAAAUCAGGUGAGGUUAUAUGCGUAUUGUACUAUUUUUUCAUUAAACUUGUGGUAAAUCUGGUGAGAUUAGUUUAGUGGGACCAAAAUAUCAGUUGCCUGCAUUCUUGUGUUUCAGAAGUUGGAGAAUGAGUAUUAGGGAGAAGUGAGGCGAUUUGGAUAGGUGGGCAUGUUGUAGCUCACUUGUCUCUGAUUUUGUUACCUUGACUCCCAAUUAUACCAGCUUGCCACUUCACUGGUGAUUACGUAGGUCUUAUGCUUAGAGGUGAUUAGUUGGUUUGACUUUGACAUUACAAGGUUUGCAUGGCAAUGGGGAUUCGAAUCUGAUAAGUUCAAAUGCAUACAAGGGUGUUCAAUUUGGCAAAAUUUGUGAGUUUUAGAUGUUGUGAUGAAGUUGGGACUUGCUUAGUGGUUAGUAACUUUUGCUAGAUUGCAGAAUAUAGAAGAGAGAUACACGAUUAUGCAAGUAUAUGGAAGCAAGAAAAAUCAGGGAUAGCUCCAUCCCAUUCUAAAUAUGGCAGGUGUCUGUGAUUGUCCCCAUUUGCCAUUUAACCUCCACUGGUUUGAAAUGCAUUAGAGAGAGAGGGAGGGAUGGAAAGGGUGAGAGAGAGAGAGAGAGAGAACCUUACAGCAUUUUUUCAUUCUAGCUCAAAAUUCUUUCUUGCAGUGAAUGGAUUAUGCAGAAGUUUUAUCUUGAGUUAACUGUAUAUUAAUAGAUCUUUACAAGCUUUUAGGCCAACAUUCUUUAGACAGAGUUUGCUCUUUCAAUAGGACUACUUCCUUGGGUUUUCAAUUGCUGACUGGCUUAAUAGUCUGAGUUCAGCUUAUUGAUCAUUUUAAUUGUUGAUUGGUUUGUGGCUAUUUCAAUGCCUUAACAAAUGACUGAAAUAAUCUUAAUUUUCAUUUUUGUUUCAUAGUGGGGAACAAUUGAAAGAUAUUGGAUGCAAAUGGGUCAUUCUUGGGCAUUCUGAGCGAAGGCAUAUAAUUGGAGAAGAUGAUGAAGUAAGAGUCUUCCAGAUUUUACUACUUUUUAACCUGUUUUCUUCUCGCUAGUCGAUUUGCAGUUUGUGCUUUGAAAAUCUUUCUAAUUUACCAGUAAAUAAGUAGAGAAUUAUAAUAAAAAUGAAACAAGGAAUUCUUAAAACUGACGAACCCCUUAUCAUGCAGUUUAUAGGAAAGAAGGCUGCUUAUGCCUUGGGCCAAGGUCUUGGAGUGAUAGCCUGCAUUGGAGAGCUUUUGCAACAAAGGGAAGAAGGAAAAACUUUUGAUGUCUGUUAUAAGCAACUGAAGGCUUUGGCAGGCAAGCUGUUAACUCAUCUUCCAUAAACCUUUUCCUUUGCACCCCCUUCUUCUUCCCACCUCCCUCCUUCCCUCUAUCUCUCUCAUGAGUAAAUGUUUAAGUGGGAGAUGGACUAUCAAAAAAGAAAACAUGGUUAUCAAUUUUAAUGUCACAUAUAAAUCAUGAUAUUGCAGAUGCUGUACCAAGCUGGGAUGAUGUUGUUAUUGCCUAUGAGCCUGUAUGGGCUAUUGGAACUGGUAAAGUGGCCACACCUCAGCAAGCACAGGAAGUGCAUGUAGCUGUUCGCGAUUGGCUUAGUAAGAAUGUUUCAGCUGAAGUUGCUUCUAAAACAAGAAUUAUCUAUGGAGGUCUAAUCUCUCUCUCUCUCUAUCUCUCACUCCCCCCUCCCCGACAAAAAAAAAAAGAACCAAAAAGAAAAGUAGAAGCUAUUGUUCCUGUGCAGCUUGAUUAACUAUUGCUGUAUAUGAUCUCAAAGAAUGCUGUGGGUCAGGAAUUCAAUUGACCUUGUCGUCCUUGUCUUUGUUUCUGCUCCAGCGGACAUGAGCUUUCCAGAUGCUUCAGAAUAUUUUUGAUGGUUGAAUACUUUUUUUUUUUUAUAUUAUUAGACUACUGACUAUCUUUUUGCAGGUUCUGUUAAUGGAAGCAACUGUGCUGAUCUUGCAAAACAAGAAGAUAUUGAUGGAUUUCUUGUAGGUGGUGCUUCCUUAAAGGUACUAUUCUGCCUUUUAGAUAUUUAUACCUAGUUCUGUUGUCUACUGUUUAGGUUUUAUGUUUGUUUACUUGGUGUGGACUAGCAAAUGAAAACUUAACAUAUUUCAAAGUUUGGCCAAAAAGGGAUUGGGGUGAGCAAGGAGAAGAGGCUCUCUCGUGCCAGUGAUAGCAACAUGUUAUCUUGCCAUGACUGCAAGCUGUUUAUUUCAUGCAGAUAGUUCGGCAACUUCACAACUUUGAAUACUGUCACUUCUUAUCUUCAUUUGAGACAACAGUUCAUCUCAUUUUGUUAGUUCGCAGUACCUAGACUUGAUGGCAUGUUAGUCUUAUAUUUGGCAAUCGUUUGCUAUAUUCAAUCAGAUUCAGAAGGCUUUUAGACAUACAAUCCUAUGUUUAUUGUUUAGUAACCUUUACAUGUGUUGCCUUUGGUGUUAAUAAUUGAAUAUCCAUAGAGGCAUGUGGUAGUGAAUUUGUUGUUCUUAAUGACAGGGAUUAGUGAUCUCAUAAAAAUUGGCGCAUUUUGAUUAUUGAGGUUUUCUUCUCCAUUUUAAGAGAUGGUUUUUUAAGGAGCUUUAUUUUAGAAAGAGGAUGCUUUGAAUUUCUGAGUGUUGCUGGUGUUUUUGGCUCCUAAAAGUGGGCAUUGGGAGUUUAGCAGGGUGAGUGGUGUCUGUUGGGAAAGCAGAGAGAGAGAGAGAGAGUCACAUACCUGGAACAUAAAAUUGAUGUUUGAUUCAUUGGCUGCAGGGACCUGAGUUUGCUACAAUUGUUAAUUCUGUAACUUCCAAGAAGGUUGCUGCAUGAUCCUCUGAGGUAGCUUUUGGCAUCAAAAGGAUAGGCGGAUUGGAGUAUCUUCUGAGGUAUAAGUAUUGCGCAAACAGGAUCUUUUGGUCAGAUUUUGAUCCUGUUCAACUUCUUUGUCCCAUACAUUGAAUGAUGCACUUAAUUCGCUUCAACUAUAUAAAAUAAUAGAGAUUGUAUGCUAAAAUUUUAGCUUUUGGUGUAACAAAAUAAGUUUUGAGUUCAACAAUGUAUGAUCUUCCCGGAACAGAGUGAUUUUAUGUUAUGCAACAUAAAUUUUUCGCUCAGAUAUAAAUAAAACGCAGAGGAAUCAAGAGUUGGAUUUUGUUUGUUCUGUUCUCAUAUUUGAGGGGGCAAAAAAUAAAAUGGAAUGUCUUGUUGGUGAUGCUUACGGAACUUAAGUUGUGGACUGGUUUGAGCUUGAAAGCUUAUUAAGUUUGAAUCCCGAGCCUUUUUAUUUAUUUAUUUAUAAAUCUUCAUUUCCUCUUUUUGGUUAUCCCUUUUUUUUAAAAAAUAUUUUUCAAUCUGUCAUGGAGGAGGAGGUGGAAGAUGGGGGGGGAGAGCUCUACCAUUUAUUCUUGGUUGGCAGCAGCACCAAAAGUAUGAUGUGGCUCUCUAGAAGCUGCACACAAGAAUCGGGGUGGAGUUUUCUAAGUUUGCUGAGCAAAUACACUGAACUGAGAGAUGGCUACUUAAAAUAAGCAGUUUAAUUUUCCGCAGUGUUCUUUUGAAAGGAAUUCAAGUUUUUAUUUUGGUCAAAAUGAGCCAGAGUUUUGUUUGACAAGUGAAACUUAGUGCUAAAACAUUCAAAUUAUCGUUUCUUGACCUUUGCCAAGUGCUGGGGUUAGCCUGUGCACGUCUACGGAAAAGGGUAUGCGUACGUUUAUGUUGGCACCACGGCGGCAAGUGGACUAAGAGCAUCAGCAGCUUUGAGUGAGCAUUAGUUAAAGAACAGGAGAAUCCACACUCAAAAGCAUAUAUUAUUCCCAAGCAACUCUUCCUAGAAAGUAAAGCAUCCCAAAGGCCUUCAAUGUCUUCUACUAUAAAUCAUCCUUCCAAAAUGCUCGAAAGAUGGUAAGAAAACAGCAGAGGAGAGAGAUGGGUUGGUUUUAUUCCAGGAGGGGUCCGGAAUGGAAACAAGGAUGGAGAGGCCAGACGAUGGCCUCGCUCUCCUUGCCACCGCUUCCGCUACUGGCCAUAUUUGCCAUUGUCAUUUGCUUGUUAUCAUUGCCCCAAUCCACAAGCGCUGCAACCAUCGACUUGAAGUUGCUCCUCUUCUUAGUGCCCAUCCUUCUAAUCUUGUUAAUUCGUCCUAGCUUUUCUGGUGGCUGGUUCAACUUCGGGACUCCAAAGCCCGGGCCCGGUUCAUCAGCACAUCAAAGUGGCGGAUUCCCAUGGGGUGUUGCCUUGUUGGUGGUGAUCCUCGUGGUGUUGGUUUCUUAUCAAUCAUCAUUUCAAUCCAUGUGGUUUACCCCUCUGCGGAGCUCGGAUUAGUAAGCCGAAAGGCAGCAGUAACUUGCAAGCUAGGAGUUGUGUGCAUCUGUGUGUGUGUGUUUAGAAAUAAAUUGAAACAUUACUUAGAAUAGUAAAUUGCCAAAAAAAUUGUUAUGUUUGUUCAUCUGUGAUUCCUGUUGAAAAUUUUCCAAAAUUUGGCUUUCAUAUCGAGGACGGUUUUAGAAGACGACAUAUUAUUCCAGCACUGGCAGUGGUGGCCAUGGGCGGCCCGAAGAGCCAUGCAAGCCUAUGAGUUGCAUCACGGAAUUGGAUCUAUAUAGUUGCUUUAGGCCGAGCACAAAUGGCCCAGUGCAGAAAUGCAGCAACAAUACAUGAGGGAGCGAAUCUAAUUAACAUCUUUAAAUUAAAUAAUCUGCCUUCAACCCUUAACCACCAUUCCUUCCGAAAAAAAACCCUUUACCACCACCAUGAUUUUUUACUCGUUGGAAUCUGUUUCCUUGAAUCAUGAUGGUAUUAUGUAUUAUUGCGCUACCAAUCAAUUUCAAGAAUCAGGAACAGGAAUCAAUGCACCAUGUCCACAACAAAAGUCCAUAUGAACUGCUAAUCAAUUCAAGUUGUGAUUCAGAUAAUAAAUCCUGGGUCACACUCACAUAUAGCGAUCAUUGAAAUAUCGACCAAGAGACCUGCCGACCAUGCAUGAUAAACCAAAAAACAUUUAUCAGUCCAUAAAUAAACCUCUAUCAGUGGAGUAACUGAUGGGGCUCCAUCAAGAAUGGAGAUCCCCAAACAAAUGAUAUGCUGCUCUAAGACCAUCAAAUAAUAACUAAUUCAGGAAAGUUGAAAGCCGUCAAAAAGCAUGCACAAUCUGCACACGCAUUAAGCUAUUUAUUUACUACUCCAUUGAUUAGCAACUUCCUUUCCUCUCUUUUUAUCUUUUCCAUUUGUUGCAGAUUUUCAGCAGAAUUUCAGGCCCUGUAUGGAUUAUGGAGUACAACUCAACAAUCAUGAAUCACCAACAUCAUCUAAGAUAGCAAACUCUCACUCCGAUCCUACCGUGUAACACUUUAACAAUCUAAAGAUUUCCCUGCUUUUAAUACAUGCACACGAAGAAAAAAAAAAAAAGAAAGAAAGAGUAACGCAAAACCAAUUAUUACUAUCAACCAACAAGCUGUAUAUACUUGCAAAAACACAAGAGAAAGUGGACUAUGAACUGAUGUUGCACAAGAACAACUACUACUGGUCAUAUAAACCAACUAUCAAGAAAAGUAGACUGAAAUUGCAGCAAAACAAUCAGCAGCAGUAUCACGGCAGCCACUCCCCAGGGCGAGCUCCCUUCCGGGUACCGAUAGUACUGCAUCCUCCGAUGCCGAUCCCACGGCGAAGUACCCCAAAAGAAGCUCUCCGGGCUGUCUAUGCUGGACAAAAACCGCACGAGGAAUAUCAAGACCACCGGCACGGCAAACAUUAUCCAUCCCAGGUUUACUUCAGCGGUCUCUACCACUGACUCGUAAGAGACGUACGACUGGAGACCAAGAAAGAUACAGAUGACUCCCAAGAACAGCAGAACCGGAUAAGGCAGAGGGUUCAGUGAGAAAACCUCCAAGAAGGAGGCUGCAGUGCUUCUUCUGUGAACCAUGAUCAUAUACGAUUGAUGAUUGAGUGGUGGCUUCUGGAGUCUGGACUCUUUAUUUUUAGGACAAAUUCAGGAAGUCGUUGGGAACUGAAGGGGUACGUGACUUAAUCUUAUUGUACUGCUAGUCUGCUGGUCCUAGUUAUUGCCCAAUUAGCAGCACUUGACUAUAAAGGGGAUGUCUGAUGCAGUGUGAGAGGACCUACUGAAAUUAAGUGGUAAUGUGUACGAAAAGUUUAGAACCGUAGGUUUUGUUUUUGGCGACUUCUUGAUCAUCACCAUUUGGAAUAGUGAACUUAAGUUAAUUUCCUUUUUUAAAAAUUACUUUUUUUUUGGUAGGUUGAGUGAAAGGUACUUUUUUUCCUAGCUAGAAAAUGGUUUCCUUAUUUGUGGGGAUCAGUCAUGCUCAUCACUCAUCAAUGGCCUGUCAACGUAAUUUAAUGUGUCACGGUCCACUUUGCAGUUCUUGAUUGGCAGUUGUUGGACUGGCCCAGUUUGAAAGCAAACUGUAUCCCCAUCUUUUGGUGCCUGAUUUCAGGGCAUUUCAUCGUACUCUCUGCACCAGGAUUUCGAUUAUCUCCGAGUGUUAAUCUAUCUUUGUUGUGUUAUUUUCAGUAAUUUCGAUUGUUGAAAAAAAACAAUCUCUUAUUUUUUUCCAAAUUGAAAAAAAAAAAUCUAAUAGUACUAUGUUUUUUGAAGCAGCUGCAGCAUAAGUGGGUCGUCUAACCAGUCUAUAAUUAAUUGGUUAAGAGAAGCUGAGGAGCUAACAAAGCAGAAUUGAACCAUACAAAUGUUUUAACGCAAAGUUGGAGGUAAUAAUUGUGCGUGCGCGUAUUUGAAUAGCAAGUUAAUGUAAAUUUGGUUUACCAAACAGUGCUGAUUAGAGAUCCACUUGGAAUGAUUCGAAACCAAUGACGAAUGAAUCCAACUACCAACUCUAAAAAAACAUUGGGCCUCCUCAGGCCCAUAUGUCCUUGCAAGGACACUAGCAAGCGGAAUUUAGGCAUGCUGCUGUCUUGGCCCCUAAAUGUCUGCGGACGCUAGAAACUACAUAUAUAUACACACACAAAAAAUGACGAACAGGUAAAAGCAAAAUUUUGUUUGCUUAUCCAACCAGCAAGCCCUCGAGGAACAGCACUUUGUCCAAAUAUACGAGCCUUUUCCACCAGAAGAACCUGAGUUCAGACUUUUCCUUCGUACUGGAAAUAUAACUUGUAAUCAUUCUGCAAGAUUGCCAGAGCGCUUCUGCAAGGACCCUCUACAGACCAGUAGAAUAAGAAAGUUAGAUUCGAUGCAACUAGCCCCUUUAUAGUUCUCAAAAAAAAAAAAAAAAAAGGUUGUCUCACCUCCAAAUACCGUGUGAAGGUGCUGAAGCUGAUCUGCUGAACAAGCAUCAAUUAGAGCAUAUACACCAGGUCUCAAAGCUUCAUCAAUUUCCCUGUUGACAAGUUCAACCAUUGUGCUGUGAGUGCAAGGCAUGUACAAUGUAAAAGUUGGACAGAUGCAAAUAUCAUCCAUAAUUGAUGUUAAAAUCCAGAUUCCUAAUGAUCAGGAUAGUAGACCGCGAAGUGAACGUAAGACACGAGGAAUCACCUCCUGAUGCCGGUUUUAAGAGGACCAAAUCCACAGUAGACCCAUAUGUAACAGGAUAAAAAUUGAAAACAGUAGCGACCAAGGCUAUCCUUCUGCUGCCUUAUCUGCAAAACAAGGAAAAAAUAACCAGUUAACUUCUCUUUUUCUUUUUCCUUUUUUUUUUUUUGAAAUGGCAAUUGUUAUUUAAUGUGGGUGAGACCAGUACAUGCAAUUGAACAUGCAUCAAGUAAUUUAGUUUGCUCUCCAUUCAAGUUCCAAGGUCUAGCUAAAAUUAAGAGUAUACCAACAUUUUUUUUUUUUUUGGGGUCAAUAAGGCAUUUGGACAAGUUCUUUUCCUUUUAGUAAAAGAAUUAGGGAUUUGGAAAAUGGCAAAAGCAUAGGGAUUUGGAACAUGAACUAAAAUUAAAAUUGCAAACCCUGAACAGGUUGAAAUAUCUUGCAGCAUGCCUAAAACACUCGGAAAAGUACAAUCUUUCUAGUGCAUGGAAUAUAAGAAUCAAUUUAUCCACAGAGUUACUUAAGAGCAAUUUAUCCCUGAGUAGUACACGCACACACAUAUACACAUACCUCUUCAUAUACUCUUCUCAGACAGCAGGCACAUUUAACACCCUCUUGCACUUCCCAUGCAAAAUUCCCUCCUCUCACAAUUGGAUCGAUAUUCACCAUCUCCAAGCAAUGAAGAAGAAUACUGACUGAGUGUUCGAGAAGAGCAGCGCAUCGCUGAGUCUCACUAAAGAUCAACAGAACAGGGAUAGCAAAAUUGAUUAGCCAAUAAAAAGGGAUUAAGGCAGAUUUCUAGGACCAUUUGAACCAAGAAUAUAGGAAGUUUUUGCAUACCUUCCAUGAUGCUUAACAAGGGAGGACAAUAAUCGGCAGCAUGCAGCAUAUAGGUCCAAGGAAUACCUUCCGUCUAAGAUACGGCCACUUGUGAUUUUUAGGGAGCAAGUAUCUGUGGUUUUUGAAGUAGUUGAAGAAUAAGAAUCGGAGAGUUGAAGCUGGAGGAGAUUUUGGAAUAAUGCUGCAGGUAUGUUUAAGGACUGCCCAACAUAGGAGGCAUCCAUUUGAAAGAGAGCAUGCUUUCCAGUAACCCUUCUCAGCAACUCAAUGCACAUAAGGAUGACUGACCCAGAAUCUGGACCAGUGUAACCUUCAUCAAAGUUAACAUUUCCUUGGAAAAUGCUGGGCCCCUGCAAGUGUAGGACUACGUUGAAGAGACAUGCAACUAAGCUCUGGAUGUGUCUUUUUACUACGUUCAGACGUUUGCGCCCUAGAAGCAAAUGGAAAAAAUAUAAUUACAUGCAUAAAUAACACUGCAUGAAAUGAUCUAAUUCACAAAAGAUGCAUUACUGUGGCAAUUUGUUAUUUAAAACAACUGGAGAAGAAAAAGGGACUCACAAAGCAUGUCGACUAAAUAGCUCUACUGUGAUACUAGUUCCUUUCCAAUAUCAUCAAUGAAAUAAAUCCCAAAGCAUUAUAUUCACAACUUUUUCCCGCAUGUCAAAUAAAGAAUUUUUGGUCCUGCUGGUCCAUAUGAACCAAGGCCUUGUUCAGCACCAAUCUUUGGUUCUCUGUGCAAAAACUACUUUAUUCUUCCAGAAACAAAUCAGAUGAAGGCAAAAAACCAGAUCGUCUGAUGGGAUCUAACAUAUCAAUUGAGAAAAAUAGGAAGAUACCAAGAGACAUAAAGAUGUACAAACACAGAGAAACCAAGAACAAUCCACGAUUUAACAGACAAGAAAUCAACAUGCCGAAAGUUGGCAAUCCACAUAGAGAUUAUCUUUUUGAAAAUGUUAUUCAAAACAAGAGGGGGGGCAACUGAGUGAGGUACAAAAAGCAAAGUAACCUCACCUGUCACAAAUUCAAUAAGUGAAUCCAAACAAUCAAUGCCAGCAGCAACAACUGAAGAUACCUUCCCACAACCCAAACUGCCAAUAUGAAUUUCAUAGUUUGUCAAGCAGCCGUCCUGCACUCCCACAACAGCUCUUUCUAUAGCCUGAAUUGCUGUUAACAAAUGCAACUCUGAUGAUUUCUGAACCAGAACUCUGAAUGAUGUCCUCAGUCUAGCUAUAAAGUCAUCCAAGCAACUCAAUUCGUGAGAAAUGGAGGACUCAGAAAAGUUCAACCACUCAAUUGGCUUUUCCAUACUUGACCCAGUCUCUUUUGAAGAAAGAGUAGCUAUUUUUCCCUGUAAAACAAUGCACUUUCCGAUAGACCUCAAAUGCAAGUCUAUCAGCUUCCCAUACAAUUUCCUGGAUAAUAUAGGGCUGGAUGAAGGAAAACAAUUACCUAAUUCUUCCAUAAAUUUGAUAACCCCAUUUAACCAUACAAAAGAAAAUGGAGGUGGAGCAACAUCUCUUGCAAAUUCCAGUAAUAAGACUUCAGAAACUCCAAGUAGAAUUGGCAUAAUAUUUUGCAACAGAGCAGUGGAACCCAGCUCCAACUUCAGUCUCAAUAUAGCUGCAGCAGCAAGAAAUAGCUGUUUAAGAAAAUAAGCCUCUUCUGAUUUGUCACCUCUGAUAAGUUCAUGCAAAAAUGUCUUCCUUAAACAUCUUGAAUCAAACAAUUGAACCUUGGCUAGAAGAGAUUCAACAUCUUCAUUUUUUGGAAUGGGCUUCCCUUUCACUACAGAUUUGUCAGAAAUAUAAUGUACUUCAUUAUUUCCUCUGUUACCAAAAGGUUCACUAACUUGUGACAUUUCCGCAUGCAAAACAUCAUUACCAUCAGCACCUUUAUUAAUGAACACCUCUUCAUUUUCCAAACACAGAUGGUCCAAUUCUGGCUGGUCAAGUUUUUGAGCAAUUGCUAGAUUUUGAGCCAAUGAAUCAUCCUCAAGAAGAAAUAGCUGUAAGAAGUAGCUUACAUAUUCUGCACAUGUAUUUAUAAAGAUAUUUAGUUUGUACAGAGGUUCCAAUUCGCAUUUGGACAAUCUUAUCCUCAUUUUACAAUUCUCCGCAUCUAUGUUGCCGAGCCCAGAAGCUAAACCCCAUAGGAAGCCUUGAAUGCAAGAUAUCACAGGUGACAAUUUCUUCAACUCCUGAAACUCAGGCAGAACUCCCAAGUUUUCACUUGCAUAGGCUUGGCUAAAACAUGCAAGUGAGUUCUGCAUGCAUUCGCUUAAAACAUUGGCUACAAGUGCUAAACUUUUACAUGGAUCAUUGUCUCUGCAAAAAUCUAAAUGUGGUUCAUCUUCAGCCAAAUCUGUGUCUUGACUACCAACAGCAAAAUUAUCUUGUCCAUUAUAAUCCAUCCCUGAAAAAAGCAAUGAAAUUUGCAACCGGUUUUUGCCCACUGUCAAAAACAUAUAUGAUGUGUGAUCCAUCAAUGAAAAUAACAAAUCUUUCAGUUGAGAAGGAACAGCUUCUGAAGAAGCAUUUUGAAAUCCAACUACUGCAAGCAAUGACUCCAAAAGCCAUAAUACAGGAGAUGAACCCUCUAAUAGUAAGCUAAUAAGUGAAGAGUGAUUGUAAUCCAUAUUCUCUUCACAUGAAGCCAUCAAUAAACUUUUAAGGGUCCUCCGACAGGAGAGAAACAGUUGGAAAAACUCAUCAUGACCACCUGCAAGUAAGGUGUUGUACCAACCUAACAAGCUGCCAACCGCAACCCUGAAAUGCACGACUUUAAUGAAACACUGAGAAAGAAUUCUAAGCUGUGCAUGCUUCAUAAACUGAAAUUGCAACCCCCCCCUGCCCCAAAAAAAAAGGAGUAACUCAUGUUGCAUGACUAACCAGUAACAUAGAAUUCAAAUCAAAUAAGAAAAGAAAAUAAUAAAGUCCUCGCCCCACUUGAAUUUUCCAAUUUGCAGUGAAUUGUUCUACAAGAUUAAGCUGAUUAGGAUCUGAAAGAGCAUAAAUUCAAACCACAUAUAGACAGGUAGGCAAACUUUCACAAAAAUUUGCAUAUGUAAUACAAAUAAUGUGCAUUUAUACUUCUACUGAAUCCAAACUUAUUAACUAAGAUGCUGGAGUAUUAAUCAAGAGACAAACCCUAUAUAGGGCAAGUAGCCAAUAUCAAAUUCUUAAACUGAAAAAUAAAGAGUUGUUAGCUGAAGCAACCACCAAAGGUCAGUGCUUCCACACCACAGUGACCACAGAUGCAAUACGCAACCUAGAAUGCCACAGUGACCACAGAUGCAAUACCACACUGUCAGUCAAAAGAAGCCCACAUUAUACUGAAAUCAUCAAAGCAAAGGAUAGUCAAGCAAAGACAAGAAAAUAUCGAAAAAUUGAAGGAACCAAUAGCUAAUACAAAAGGUCAUAUCUAAACAGAAGACUAGAUGGUUCCCUGUUGGGAGUUUUUACCGUCUUAACUUUGAACUAUGCUUCUCUUUUUCACUCUGCAUCUUUCUACUGAAAAGUCUGGCACUGUCCCACUUCUAAUCUCAGGACUUAAAUUAAAGAAACUAAUCCUUUUACCAAAUUAUUAACAAAUGAAAGAGCCAAUGUUAGUGGCAAGAGGAUCUUCACAUUGUAAUUUUAAAUUUAAAAUAGUAUGACAGGUAAAAGAGUUCAUUUCAUAAAGUGCCAAGGCUCCAUAAAGCAAAUUUAAGAAAGAUGAUCCAAUGAAUACCCAUUCCACCCCCACCCUUCUGGAUUUAGUUGUUGAUCCAAUUUGCACAAUGCAAACAAAAACCAAAAAAAUUCAUUCCCAAGUUGUUAUACUUUUCUAGUUAGUUAACAUCCAUAGUUUGGUUCACAUCUUAAGACCAAAACACAGAUCUAAACCUUGGAAACAUAUACUAUAAACCUACCGCACAUUGAAAAAAUGGCUUAAAUGCCAAAAACAACAUCAGCAGCUAGCAGAUCUCGCAUAUCAUAUGCAUAGCCACUUAAACAUAUUAUCAGAACUAAGGUUCACAGGAAUUGAACAUACUGCUCAAGUUUGAGAAUGCAAUUCGCAAACGAUUGGAAAGAUUUUGGACCUAGAAUCUCUUUUGGCAUCCAAGACAAAAAGUUCAGCAAACUGUUACACAAAGCAUACUCAGUGUUGCUGGAAGGAGCUACAUCUUCUAUUCUGCAAAUUUCAGCAUUCUUCGCAGACUUCUUGACAUGAAUAAUGUUAGAUGGAUUUCUAAGAGCGCGUAUAAUUUCCGACCAAUCAUGUUGUGAACUUAGAUAACCUUCUCCAAAAUCAACAGAAAUAGAUGACAAGGAUGCUUCCAAGAUCUGGCAAAAUGUCGAUGCUAUAUGCCUGCGAAAAAACUAACAUACCAGAAAGUAAGAAAUUGCCUGCAGCUAGAAUCCAGUCAAAAAAUUUUAAGUGAAUAGCUAGAUGCCUGUGGGAAUUGGGAGAAUGGAAAGCAAAAAGUGUGGUUGGGACCAUGGGAAUGUAAGAAGAAAGAGGGAGAAGGUGGUGCCUACAUAAAGACUCUAUGACUUCACCCUAGAGGCAAAUAAACAAUAACUAACAAUUUAUUACGAGGUCCACUGGGCAAGGCCAGCCUGUCCCUUGUGUGACACAUGCAACUCUAAAAGCUGGUGAAUAUGUUAUCUGGAAUGAACAUACUAUCUUACUUUUUGUUCAUAGAGACCAGUGUCAUUCAGAAGUUCAAGCGAGAUUUGCUGUGUGGUAACAUUCCUCAGAUGGCCAACCUUGUUAAUGCAGUGUGAUCUAAAUUUGUCGUUACCACCACUUCCAAUAAGAAGGGAACAGUUGAUCAAAUGUGUGAGAAAUUGCUUAAGGUCUUUCUUAGAAGCAUGUCUGCACCAGAUAUCAAUAUGCUGACAAGCAAUCAACCACAUUGCAGCUGGUAAUGUCUUUUGGUCCAGAGCACCAACAUUAAGGUCCCAUGCAUUGUCUUUCUGAAGAUUUUGGAUGGAUAAGCAUUUAGAAAGUCCACUAUCAUAUGAGAUAGUUAACUGGUCCUUAAACAAUGACGAGAAACAUAACAUCAUGAAUUUAGUCAGCCCAGCAGCCUCUUGCUUCAUACUCAAGAGACACUUCCUCCACUUUUUACCUCUCUUAUAUGAUACUCCAGUAUCAUCAAUCAUCUCUGCCGCAAUUAACUUAUCAUUUCUUGCAAGCAAAUAUUCAAAGGAUUUUGUCAUCCUGUUUAAAUCAACAAGUCUCUGAAUAGUCAUGGCAUUUAAAACAUAGACUAAAGGCGGGCAACCAGCCAGAGUAUCUUGAAAAUACAUCCUUGAAACAUUGUUUAUUAUGGUAAGAAGAUUAGCUGAUGGUUGGAUGAUCCAAGAAAAGUAGCCUUCAGCAUUCUGAACAAUGCCAUCCAACCAAUCCUUCCCAGAGUAAGCUGCAUAAGGGUCACCCAUUGUUUCUGACAUUUUUUUGGAUGUAUGUGGUGGUACAUGGCUGAUCACUCGUCGAUAUAAGCUUCUGCAGGAUAAAUAUAGACGGAAAAAGAACACUAAGAGCCAGCAUGACAAGGAAUCAUUUUCUAAUCCAACCCCCCAGCUGGAACUUUGUCCAGAAACAAGGGAGAAAAACUUAUCCAUGAUAUCUGGCUUAAGUAAAUCUUGGCUAUUUGAGCUGUGGCACAUAAGUUCCAUCAAAUCCUUGAUGGAACUACCAACAGCAUUACAAUUACCAGAAGUGACAGUCAUGGAAUCUAGAAUUAAAGUAUAUAUUUCAGACAAAAAUCUUCCCAAAAGUUCUGCCUUCAAAUCAAACCAUGAGAAACCACCAUCAGUACAACCUGGCUUUGAUAAAUCAUCUGCAGGACCAAGCUGAAGUUGAGCAUUCAACCACUUCAGGGAUUCAGAAAUUUCUGCAGUUAAUAGUCGAAUACAUCCACUCACUUGGCCUUCUGGAAUGGACUUGAAACCGUUGUAGAUGGAAAGUCUAAACUCCAGCGAGCAUAGCAAUGUACUCAAUGACAUUGAGCAAGAACAAUAAGAUUCUGAAGUGCAUGCUUCACCGUCUUUAUGAGCUGAUUCCAAAUGCCUUGCUGCUUUACAGAGAGCAAACACUGAGGUAUUAACCUGCAUUCAUUUAACUAUAAGAUCAGUAUCUUUCAGAUUCCAAUCCACCAUAAGAAAACAGAGACUGAAACAGGACAAUCAAGUGUAAAAAUGCAAAACAAUAGUGUCAAAAAAACAACAAACUGCCAUCUACUUCUGGUCCCUUGUAUUUUUUCUUUAACUGAAGCUCUGUCAUUGUUACAUGCAACCUCCUUCAGCCUAACAAUAACAAGCAAUGGGGAAAGACUAAGAUUGCUACAUUUGCAUGCAACUGUGUUUGUAUACCAAACCCAUGACCUCCUACUUAUCCUAUGAUGUUGUUUGCAUCCUAUUCAGCAAAUAGAGUUUGCCUAUAGCCUGGUUGUACAAAUGAAAUUGAUAAUUUCCUUCUUACUUGUGCCCCUCUGAGAAAAUCUUUUCUUGUAGGGCGGGGGGAUAGGUCUCUACCAACAAAAGGCCAAUGUUCCAUAGGUUGGUCACUAUUAGUAUCAAACAAAAUAACGUUUAAAACUGAAAGCCUCUGAUUUCAGCACCAACAUCGCCUAUUCAUUAUAUAUUCCCACUUUUUGAACUCAAGAGCAGUCAUGUCAAAAUUGAUAUGAGAUAUUCAACCAACCUGCCGAAGUUCACUGUAAAGAUUGAUUAGGGCACAUCCAAGAAUAUGUAUCUCCGAGAUUAAUAGGUGCUUAUCCGGCACAUCAACCAUAGACUGGCUGGAGGAUGCAAAUGUGAACAUUAUCCCCCAUAAGUUUUCUAGAUCAUCCCCAACAACCUCAUAUUCAAUUUCCACUAAGAGAUGCACAGCAACAACUAUCUCCUUUGCCAUUAGAAUCAGGACCUCCUGAUUUCUAACAUUUGAACCAAAUGAUGACAUCAGAUGUUUAAUCUUGACAGACAACAACAUAAUGGUCUCAUAAAUGAAUCUCAGGAAAUUCAUGCAUGCCCCUUCAGAAAUAUCCUCCAAUCGUGUGUAUAUAUUUUCCUGCUUAAAACUGGCAAGCAACUUGUUUGCUGAUAUCAACACACACAGAACAUCUGACAAGGGGGUUCCUACAUUCCAUUCAGCUUGAAGAUGCAUUGUAAUAUGCGAUAGAAAAGAUUCCAUAAUUUGGACAAAGAAAUCAAAAAGAGACUUCCGUGUUACUGCACUCACAGAACCUGAACAAUUCUGUGUUUGUAAAGCCACAUUACUGCUACCAGAAGACCUUUCAGAAAUAUGACCAGCAGAAUCUUCCAGUUGCCUGGAAACUUUAUUGACACUUGAAACUCCUUUUUGCUUUGUGGCACACACAACAAACAAGUGAAAUAGUGCUCCCACGCCACCUAAUGGCAAUGAAUUUUUGCAGGCUAUGAUCUUCUCCAACUUGUCAAAUAGUUUUCUAUGAUAACUUUUAAUAAAAAAUAUUCUUUCCUUUGAUUUCCCGUCAUCAGAUUUUUUAUACUUGCCUGUGCUCUGCAAGCUCAAAAAUCCAUCAAUAUGAGCUGCGUGAAAUAACCCCUGAGAUGAAAUUUCUUCAACUAAUUUUAGUAGGUUUUUACUCCAUCCUAGAUCCUUGCAUGUAGAAAGACGUAACUCAUCCAAUAGAUGCAUCAGUGGCUCGAGAAGCCGAUCAAUAAAAUCAUGAAAACCAUUCUUACGAGCUGGAUGGACUCUCAAAAACUUAGCAAAUGGCUCAAGCAGAUAGCAUGAGAAUUGAAGGAUGAAGAUACCCGCCUUGCUGUCAGCAACUUUGUUACUGAAAACUUUUCUGACAAUUUCAAGCACUGUAUCAGUUACCAUAAUCCACAAGUCCAAAUUUGCAUUUGCAACCCCAUUAUGGGAUGAAAAUAUGAAUGAAAUGCAACUGAGCACAGUUUCUUGCAAUUCAUUGCCUUCACUGCUCAAAGCUGACUCCUUGGAAUCUAUUAACUCAAGACUGAAACAUGCCAAUGCAUCCCGUGAGAUGCAAUCAAUUACCCGUAGAAAGUCUCUUGAAUAGUUCAAUGAUACAUUAACUUUUAGAGACUCCUCCAAACAGAAUUUCAGAAUCACCCAGCAUCUGUAAUCUAAACAGAAGCCAACAGUUUCUGGGUGACCCUCAGAUCCUUUAUCUGGAGUUUUUUUAACUGAAGAAAUCAAAACUGACUCAAUCCAGUUGCUAACAAAAACUACUACUCUUGACAUACUAACUGCAUCCAAAAUUUCAAGGCUGUCGUCACCAUCUUCUCUUAUAGAUGUUCUUAACAGCACAUACUUACAAGCCACCUCCAGCUUCCUGCAUUAAAAUUGAAACCAAUCAAACUCCAACAGAAAUAUGGCAAAUCUUUGAAUGACAAAUUAAUCUAAUCAUUCUACAGAAUAGCUGUGUUUGAGAAAAUGGAAGACAGUAGAUUACGUUGGUUUAUUCUCCCUCCAAACCCAACCCUUUUUGGCUUCCUUGAGCGACAGCUCAUGCGAUGUUAUUGCAACACUAAACCAAAAGCAGCCCUCUUUACACCUAGCCAACUCUCAAACCCACCCUCACCUCCCACCCAACACAAAGAUGAAAACAGAAACAUAACAAACAGGAAACAACCUUCAAAGCUUCAGUGGGCUUUCUAAUAGCAUGAAUCCCCUUCAAACAAAUAAUAAACAGGAAUCCCCAAACUGUUCCACUCAUUUGAACAAUUUUGUCAAACAACUUAAGUAUUGAACGUAUACUGUUAGCAUAAAUGACAAUGGUGCGUCUACUGAUUAGUAAAAAGGAAACGGAAAGAGAGAGAAGAAUACUGACGUGGGAAGAUCAAUGUGUUUAUUCUGAAGCAACAAAAUCAACUGUAAAUUCCUCCAUGGAGACACCUCUUCUAAAUUAAACAGUAGUUUCCCAUCUUCUGCCUCUGUUUUUUGCUUUUCAUAUGUUCCUUGAGAGGAGUCAACUCUGGAGCUUUUAGAAGGACCCUGAUGUUCUUCUUCUUCUUCUUCUUUUUGGUGGGCAUGCAUAUGCUUUCUUUUCUUGUUUUUCAUCGUCGUAAAUUUUUCCCCUGGUCUCGGCUCGGAAUCAGCCAGUAUCAGGGCUCUUGGACGUGGUGGUGAUGGAGGUGCUCCAGAAUUUAAUUCUCAGGGGUUCUUGUUCUUGUAGGGUUUUAGGAAAAAGCGCAGUAAUUCAACGAGCGACGACGUCGUGUCUCUGGUGCGGAAGUUGGGAAAGAGGGUCUACAUCUUAUAAACUAUAAAGCACUAUUUAUGACACUUUAGUACCUAUACUUUUCUUUAUCGUCACUUUGACCCAAAUGGUUUGUAGAUAUUAGUUUUUUUUUUUUUUUAAGUAAAUGUCAGAACCUCCUAUUUACUUACAUUCACUCUUAUCUUACCACCCAAUCCAAUUUUUAUUUACGUGGAGUAUUAAAGUAUCUCCUAAGGGUUUAAAAUCCUCUUUAGAAUUAGGAUUUGGACAAAGUCGAUGAAGUAACUUAGUAAAUGAAAAGGUAAAACAAAUGUGCAUACCGCUUUUAUUUUUAUAUAGAUUGUUUCUACAAAAAUCCUAUUUUAUGAUAAUCAAUUUUUUAUCUAAACAUAAAACAGAAUCAAGAAAAUGUGAAAGUAAAAAGACAAAGAAGCUCUUGAAUGAUUUUAAUUAUUCUUUUUUAAAAAAAAAAAAAACCCUUGUAACUACUCUUUUCAAUUAUAACUCGCAAUCACCUAUCUCAUUAUAUAAAACAUAAUCGAUUCAAAAAAGCUGUAAAAAAAAAAAUGUCGGUGAGUUCACAUUUCAAAUUCUGUGUCCAUAUCUCUGGUCCUGACAAGACCUUCUACCUUCUAUACAACCCAAUUGAAUUUUGCUUCUUAAAUAGAGAGUUGGAAUUGUGAUGGUGUAUAAAUAAUUUUAACUACCUAGCAGGGUAUAAAAAGGGUGCUAGCACUAGAUUUUACAAUAAAUGUAUACUCCAUCAUGUACAUGCAAAAGUACAUUGUGGUGUAAACACACAUGUCAUCUUUACCAACUAGCUCUUCAAGUGUAUUUCUAAAUAAUUUCUCCAUAAAUCUAAAUUGAGGUCAUAAAACAAAAGAUGUAAAUUUGUCUAGCUUUAAGGAGUGUCCUCAUUAAUGUACAUGAAACAACAUGUUAGUAUGCAAAUUUACACUUCAUUGCCAAUUGUGUUAAAGUAGUGAUAAAUGUGAGGUAAUUGUCAUAAGAUGAGAGUUCGAGCAGCAAGGUGUCAACAUCUUGAAGAUACUAACAUGUUGAAUCCAGCUUCGAGGUUGACUCUACCAUUUUGUUAGGCCCUGCACACAUUAGAGAUUUGUGUUAAAACGCAACAUGGGGGAAUAGCUGGUAGCCAACCGAGUUGAAUUUGAGAAUAUGAAAAGCUCAAUACAAAAUCGGUUCACUUCCCUUUCAAUGUUCUAAGCAUUGAGAAUGACAAAUUACAACAUGCCAAAUGGUAAGGAAUUGAUGUAAUUUUCCAGUGAAACAGAAGCAAGAUCAACCUUAUUUGGAUUGCUGUUUUUCGUCAAAAAAUUACGUUGUUUUCCGUAAUCACAUUUUUCUAUUAGCUUUUUUUCUUACAUACAUCAAAUCACUACAGUAAUUUUUUCAUAAAAAAUCAUGAAAAAUACAAUCCAAACACAAUAGUAUUCCAGUCUUAGGGAAAAGAAGUUCUUGUGAAACAUUCUCCGUGGAAUACUUUCUUGUAGUAUAGUUUAGUCAACGUAGUAAUUUGAAAUGGAUUUUGCCUUUUGUCGCUGGUAUGCAUCGCCCAUAUCCUUCGAAAAAAUCGCACGAGGCUGCGGGGCUGUCAUUUUCUAGAGCACCUUUUUGCCGUACUAUAUACUUCUCGGUGCCAUUUAGUACUGUAUUUAGGGAAAGGAAAUUAGAUAUUUAUUUAAAUAAUUCCAACAUGGGAAUGAAGCCGGAUGUACAAAAUAUCUUUUGGGCCUUUUUGGUAAAAGAAUUUUUUGCCAAAAUUUUUCCCUAUGAGUUUUUUUUUUUUUUUUUUUUACCAAUUUUUACUAUAGUAACUUCAUAAAAAUUUUUCAAAAAUUUUUAAACUACACACCUUAAAAUACUCAAAAAUAUGUAAAAAAAAAAAAAAAAAAAUACCUUUCUUCCAUUCCUUUGCUUCAUCUCCCACCUCAACUCACCACUAUCUUUGCUACCGGCCAACGCCGACUAACUUCUUUGUUAGUGGUAGUGUCGACGAUUGUUUUCUUUCUUAAUCUUUCCUUUUCAUUUCUCUUUCUCUCUCUCCUUCCUUUCCCCCUUUCUAGAGCUGUUAAGCCAAUCGAGUAGCUCGAAAGCUCGUUAGAGCUCGGCUCGUUAAGGCUCGAGCUCGACUCGUUAAUUUUGGUUAACAAGUCGAGCUCGAAACAUGCUCGUUUAGUUAACGAGCCGAGUAAGCUCGGCUCGUUUGAUACUCGAGUAGCUCGUUAGAACUCGUUAAUGAAGGGCAUAUUUGUCAUUUUAGAAAUCAAAAUUAUAUAAAUUAAAAAUUAUAGGUUUUUAUUAAUGUUAAUUUGCACGAGCUCGAGCUCGAGCUCGUGAAACUCAACUCGUUUGUCACAAACGAGUCGAGCUCGAGCUCGAACUCGAGUCACAUAUACAUUUAACGAGUCGAGUUCGAACACAUUUUAAAGUUCAUUUUCUUAACGAGCUCGAGUUGAGCUCGGCUCGAAUUAAACUCGAGUCGAGCUCGGCAACCAAAUACUCGGCUCGACUCGGCUCGAUUAACAGCUCUACUCCUUUCCCUCUUCCCCUCUCCUAUUAUCCUUCUUUCCUUCCCUCUCUCUUGAUUCAAUGACGAAGAAGGAGAGAAGAUGACAGGGAAAAAGGGAAGAGAGGAAGGAGGGAGAGAAAAAAAAAAAGAAAAGAUCGUAGAUAACGGUAGCCGCCCAAUGGGGAGUGAUGGAGAUGAUGAGUAAUGUGAUUGGAAAUAAGAAGAGGAGAUGAAAGAAAGGGGAAAAGAAAAAGAAACAGGAAAAAAAGAAAAAAAAUUUCUUAAAGAAAAGUUUUUACAAAUUUUAAAAAGUUUUUUUGAUAAAUUUUAUUUAAAAUUUUAUCAUAAAUUACAGUAAAAUGUUAGAUAAAUAAUAAAAAAAAUCAUUUGUGAAACGGGCCCUUGCUAGUAGGCUAAUAAAACUUCACAUGCAUGCAUGAGUAACAAUCUUGGAAUAUGAUAAAUCAAGGGUCUGUUUGGUUGGAAGUAAAAUGUUUUCUUUGGAAACAUAUUUUUCGUAGAAAUAAUUUUCCAUGAAAAUCAUUUCCCUUUCAUCAUUUUCAGGUGUUUGGUUAGCUUAUUGAAAAUAUUUUCUUACUUCAUUUUUCUGGUGUUUGUUUAACUUUUGAAAUAUCUUCACUUUUAUCUCUAUCUUUACUUUCUACACAUUAUAACUACAUAUUUCUUCCCAUGCAAAAUAAGAAAAUUUAUCUCAUUGUUUAACUUUAAAAAAUCUUGGAGAAAUGUAUAUAUGAAUAAAAAAUAUCUCCUUAAACAAUAAACAAAUUGCUGGCCAUUUAGUGUCAAAUAUCAAUCACAUGCAAUGCUUAUUGUGACAUAUAUCUUGCACUCUCACUGCUGAAAGUUUCUCUAGAAAAGAAUGUCCCUAUUAUACAUAAUUAAUUACUAGCAUAAGAUGAGCAAGAUGAGAUUUUUUUUAUUUAUUUUGAAUAUACUAGGAGGAGGGUUGGGUUGGGUUGGGUGGUAUGGGGGAGGGAGUGUAAGGAAGAAGUUUUAGGUUUGAGUCAUCCUGUUUACACUAAAAAAAAAAAAGAACAUACUACAAGAUGUUUUCAGUAAGUUUGGAACAUACUACAGGCGGGAUGCAUGCAUUUCGGAAAACAACUUCAGUAAGUUUGGAAGGAAAGUUGUUUUCCAUAGGAUGAGUGAAAAUAUUUUACAUAGGAAAAUGUUUUCAGUAAUUUUUGUGCAACCAAACACGAGAAAUUAGAAAAAUAUUUUCCUGAAAAAUAUUUUCACCCGAAACAAACGGACCCAAGUGAAGAUUUGUUUUCAUUUCACACAUUGAAGACCAAUAGUCCAAGCCGCAGAAGGCAAUUUUGCCAAUUAGGGACGCCAACCAAGCCCCCCCUCAGGGCGCCAGCCCCGUGCUCAUUUUCCCAACCCUUUUGCUGGUUGGAUCUACUGAUCGUACACGUGCACUACCAGACACAGAUCCCUAUAAACAAACAUGCAUUAUUAUUAGGAUUGCUCCCUUCACAGGUACGGACUAAACAACCCCUGCCCCGUGGCCCCUUCCAUCAUCAGCUUAAGCUGCACAAGUCCCCACGGCACUUUUUAACUGCACAUGGCACAACAAAAAAUACCAGAACCAACUCCGUCCGUCAAUUUCACAACAGUUGUGGACCCAAUGUACGAGGCGCAUGAUUAUCCGAAAAAAGAAGCAAAAUCCCAAGACCUCACAUGAUGUGCAACAUAAUGUCGCGUCUGAAGUUGUUUUCUAUAUUUAUAUUAUGAAUUACAUUCAUAUUGAUUUGCAUAAUUGAACAAAAGAUUAUAUUAUGUUGAAAUGCACAAAUUUGAGUCGAUUGAACUGACAAUCGUUCGCGUCUAAUUUCCUCAUCGCUAAUAAUCAACUAAUACGGGUUUGCCAAGUUCGCCAUGAAAGACUUUUUAAAUCUCUUUCGGUUCCAAGUCAAGAGUUUAAACCUUACUUACUAAAUCUGCACAGUAAAUUCAGUUUCCUUUUCAUCAAAAAAAUUUUGAGUGUGUUGGUCUACACAAUCUUCCAGUAUAACUGGUGCAACCUUUACCCUCUUUACAUAAUUUUUAUAGUGUAUAAGUAGAAUAAAUGAUUGAUACUUAUUGGACUCAACUGUCUAACUUUUGGCUCUUAACAUGGUUUAGUUGGGUUCUCUCUUCUCCAUCGUAUAUAAGUAUAAUAAAUAUUGCGAGGAUGGAUAGAAAAAAAGUAAAUUUUAUAUACACUAUCAGUGUAUACAUCAUCACGAAUUGGAUGAAUGAUACAUGAGUAAAAUUUGAAUUUAAAAUUUAAAUUUUAUACAUGUAUCAUAUAUGUGAUGGUGAUAUGUAUAUAUGUAUAAGAUAUACAAGAUUAAUCCUCAAAAAAAUAGAAGUGAUGUUAGUGGGUCGCACUUUAUAUAUAACGUGUGAUGGACAAAGAACAUAAUACUAGUUUUUUACAACCAUUUACUACUUGGUACUGAUGGGACGCUUGAAAAUGCUAGAUAGCAGGCAUGGAGAACUCACACUCCCAUUUUUUUCCCCCAGUCCAAUUUCAAACUUCAAAUGACGGCACAAUAUGAGUAGCCAACUUGAUUUAGACAUCGAAUCCUUCGACACAAAAUAUUGAAGGGUGUUACAGAGUUUACAACUUACGUAUACAUGAUUAACAUAUCAUAGAUUUACCAAAUCGCUCACACAGUUGCAGUUUUCGAAUGGCAUAGCCCUCCGCCACGCAUGACGUAUGAAGCCAGCUACCCCUCUUCCCACGCCCAAAUUGGCUGGUGAAUGCAGAGCAUUUUUACCCUGUAUUGCAAUUCAUGUAAUUUCCGUGACCUAAGAAAUAUGUGUAGAUGUUGAUUGUCCUUACGUGACCAAGCUGCUGCUUUGGGUCAGCAUCUUUCAAUUAUAUACCCCAGGCUUCUCCAGGCCUACCUGUUGAUAUUUUGUCCCUAUUACUGACGAUAUAAGAGAUUUCCCAUGUCUCUAUAUUCUAGCCUGGUGGUCCUUUCUUUAUAUUCAGCCUUUUCGUGGGAUCUCUAUUUCUUUCAUUAUUAAUUGUUCUCACUCCUCAAUCCUUAAAAAGCUUUGCGUAAGUGAUGCUAUUGAUCAUCGGUGCUGUUCAUAGUUUGGUUUUCUUCGUUUUCUCUGCUUUAAUAUAUGUAUUAUCUGUUUUCUGAAUCUGGGUUUUCUCUCGUUUCGUUUCAUGCAUGUCCCAAUACCUAUUCCACUUCUUCUGCCAAAUGGGAGUUCUUUAAGUCCUGAGUUCUGGUCUAAGAUAAAAUGAUGUUCUCUCCCUCCACCGGGGGCGCCGCGGGGGCGGCGUCUCUGCCUUUAUUAUUAUUUUUUUGGCUGCCUUUCUUCUUUCUUGUCUUCUUUCCUCCUGUUUUAAUUAUUUUUGUUGGACGUCAGUACGCCAAGGAAUAUUUGAUUGGCGGUAUCUAUCUGUCUCUGGAAUUAAAGCACAUUAGCAAACAUUACUUGUUGAACCCAUAUCUUAAUUUUUUGCUGAAAUGAUUUUAUCUGUCAUUCUGCACGUCGCACGUGAGGGUUUUUUUGGCUGAAUCUUGAUUUAUGAAAUGCAGAAUGCUAAGCUGCUGAUAUAGUUUGCCCCGGAACUACUUUUCUUGAAGACAAUUAAAGGCUUCAAGAAUGUCUACCCUUUCUGCUGAUGUUUCUCAAAAUGGUACUAUCAAGAAUGUUGAUUCGUCGAGUAGUGUUUUUGAACUAGAAGAGUAUGAUUUCUCCAAGUUGCCAGAUAGGCCUAAGAAUCUGAAUAUAGAUAGACAGCGAUCAUUUGAUGAAAGGUCACUUACUGAAUUACCAAUGGGACAUUCUCCUUGUCCCCCGUCGAGGGCGGAUAACUACUAUGGAGCUUUAGAUCAUUUUGACGGUUUUUUUUCCCCCAGUAAAAGGUCUCUCCUUAAUACUCCGAGGUCAUUAUUCGGAUACGAGCCACAUCCCAUGAUUGCUGAGGCAUGGGAAACUUUACGCCGUUCAUUGGUCUAUUUUCGUGGUCAACCGGUUGGGACCAUUGCAGCAUUAGACAGUUCUGAAGAAAAACUCAACUAUGACCAGGUGAAGCAAGUGAUACAUUGAAAACGUUACUUCUAUCUUUCUAGAGCAGUAUUUAGUUUUCGCGAACAAUUUUUUUUUUUUUGACUCGUGAGUAGUAGCAAUUUAAUUCAUUUUCACUUGAGAGCACGUAGGUAUUAGAACAUGAAGAUUGGGUUCUGAUUUGUGGCGUUAUCUCGUCUCUUCUCAGUUAAAUGCAGGGAUUAAGGUGCUGUAAUCUCUAGUGAAUGUGUUGUUUACCUACGUUAACUAAAGGUUGAUUGGUAGUUUAUAUUCUACUUGAUGCAUGACCAGCGUUAGGCUACCAACAAGUAUGUUCAUCAUAAAUGGGCUUUUAGAGUUGUUAGAAUGGCAGAGCGCAUCGCAUGAAAUAGAGAUUCCUAAUAGCCAGUCCAUGGAUAAUAUGGAAAAUCAUUUGCAAACUGUCAUUUGGAUAAGGUGUUGUUAUGCUUUAUGUUAUUUUGAAGAAAAAAUUACUAUUAAUUUUUUUAUCUGUUUUUCUUUUCCUCCAAUUACUCUAUCUGCCUCCAGCUUGCAUUUAGAUAAAAUGGCAUAUGAUACUUUUACAGGCCUAUUCCAUCCUAUUCCAUUUGUACAUGUGGUGAUUGACAUCUUUUUUUCAUGUAGGUGUUUGUCAGAGAUUUUGUUCCUAGUGCAUUGGCCUUUCUGAUGAAUGGAGAACCUGAAAUAGUGAAAAAUUUCAUCUUGAAGACCCUUCGGCUUCAGUCAUGGGAGAAAAAGAUUGAUCGAUUCCAAUUGGGAGAGGGUGUGAUGCCUGCUAGUUUCAAAGUACUCCAUGACCCAGUCAGGAAUACUGAGACAUUGAUGGCAGAUUUUGGCGAGAGUGCAAUAGGAAGAGUGGCUCCCGUUGAUUCUGGGUUUUGGUGGAUCAUAUUACUUCGAGCAUACACAAGGUCAACAGGAGAUUCUUCUUUGGCUGAGAUGCCUGAGUGUCAGAAAGGCAUGCGGCUAAUUCUCAGUUUAUGCCUUUCAGAAGGAUAUGACACAUUCCCAACUCUUCUUUGUGCUGAUGGAUGCUGUAUGAUUGAUCGCAGAAUGGUGAGUUCCCGACAGUCUAUGCUAAUUUUUAGUUUUGUUGCUUGUGAGAUAGGCUUUUCUCUACAUUUGUUUCUUUGCUUUUUAUUUCUCCUUUCUUUAGAACUCCUCUCGCUCAAUGAUCUUAUGGUUUUGAUAUGAUUGGAAGUAACAGGAAUGAGUAAACUACUGUCAGUGAGAAAUGACUUUGGUGGUUGACUGGAGCUUCUCCAAUUCUUACACCUUACAGCUCAAAACUUUCAUUCACAUAUUGCUGAUUUUUUGUUAAAAUUUUCAUCAUAGAGUUGAUUUUAUGGUAUCAAAGAUAUAGCUUCUACAUCUAUUAUUCCACAUCCCCUGCUGAAUGUUAACAUAGAUCCAAUCAGCAUCAUAUUUGUUGCUUGCUGUCCAAUAGAUACAAAGUUUUGUAACACUGUGUUUUGGAUAAGCAAGAUGCCAUUGGAGGUAUUAGACUGUAGUGAACUAAAGAUACAAAGAUAUUACACCCAUAAAAACAAAUAAGAACACAGCUCAAAGGCACAUCAGAAUUUGCUUCCUAUAUGUCAGAUGUCUACUUGAUCCCUAUGCAAUAUUUUUGGCCGUUUGCUUUAACUAAACUUUGUAAGGCUAGAAUUAGUGGUUGUGAAUCGUGCUGGAAGCCUAAACAGAUGGAACUGUUUGUAAGGUGCUUCUUGAACAAAAAUGUCAUUGUUGGAAUAGUGAUAUUAAGUAUUGUUCUGUAGAAUUGAGAAGCUAGUUGGUCUCUGAAUAUUCAAUGGAGGAGUAGGUGUUCAGUUUAGAAACCAGAAAUCCAGAAUUAAGUGUGUUGAGCAUUUGACUCUUACAGAUCUAGAAGGUGGAUGUACUUAAGUUGGAAACAGUACCUGACUACUGGUAUGCAAUCAGCUCAGCUUCUGUUUUGCAGAAGUUCAGAAAAAAAUUACAGUUGGAAAAACCAUGCAGUUAAUGGGUUUUAAACUGUUGUCCUCCUGUCUUGCAUGAUUGAGGGCUAUUAUGGCUGCAAGGCUCUGGAGAUUUUUGUUUUUG
Molecule: long non-coding RNA, 46571 nt
Filed under: Coffea arabica (coffee)
Lineage: Eukaryota; Viridiplantae; Streptophyta; Magnoliopsida; Gentianales; Rubiaceae
Description: long non-coding RNA (CARA_LNC001606)
Source: RNAcentral